GAAGACGAAACCGACCUUGCUGAACUCGAGGCAAGGAACCCAUUUGGAGCGGAUGAGAUACUCGAUCUGCUUCAGGAGGGACUCCACGGUGAGAGGUGGCAGGUAGGAAAGGGUCUCGAACUUCUUGAUGCCCUCAAUUGGCCACACCUGCAAUUAGAUUAAAAUUAGCACACAAAGUGUGAUUUGAGACACAUAUCGAUGGAGUAUUUCACUUCACACAUAUCGGUAUGAUGAUAUACAUACCUGCAUGCUCGUGAUCCUGCCACCGUUGGAGACGCUGCCGAGGCCAGCGCCGGCAGAGCGGCGGCUGACGGGGAGCCCGGCGGUGGACUUGAGGCCCCGGAAAGGAGCAACAGCGGUAGCCGCCGCCGACAUCACUGUCGGACCCAUAGCAUCCACCCUUGUAUCACUAGAGUAUAUCUACUUAGCUAAUAUGCUAAGUUUGGCACGGAGAGAGGAGGUCGAGUGGACUUCAUUCCUGGUCACAAGGGUUUAUAUAUACCAUAUAACAUACGAGCAAUUUGUGAUUAAUUUGUUGUCGUUCUAGGAGAUGUGGAAAGGGUGGAUGCCGUUCGUUGGUUGCCUUAUCCGUUCUAGAGAAGGGAUGGAUGACCGACGCUCGCUCAGCCGUCUCCUUCGUCCAUCGUUGCCAAUCUUUCUAGCUAUAAUUGGAAGUUCCAAAGGAACAUACGGUUUCAUGCCUACUUCCAUCGGCCUAUCAUGUACCAAUCCAAUAAAAGGACAUCGUUCAACCAUCAAUCCAUGUGUGUGUAGUAAGUGAUUGGCUACGAACCUUCAGCUGACUUGCUUUAUUGGAUAUUUCUGUAAAGCGAGUCCACGGUGUGUGGGUUUAAAAUCUCGUGGCGGCAACUGUUGACGGGUGCAAAUAUCAGUAGCCUUAAAACAAUAAACUUUACUCCGUCCCUUCCGAAAUGCAAGAAUGUCCUAAGUCAAACUUCUUAUGCUGCAGGACCAUAGUUUUUGAGGUGUUCUUCUCACGAGUCCACGAAGAACGGGAAUUUUUUGGUGUCGGGUAAGGGCGGGGGAAUAUAUAGAUGCUAGCAUCAGCAUGACGGGCUAACGGGUCAGGUAGGAUUUUGGACGACGUAGCACCUGACAUGUGGGGGCCACAUGUAAGAAAACCUGUCAAAAUGUCAUAACCCUCUGUUUUGGUCAACUUGAUACAAUCUGAUACAAAACGUGUGGUUUUCCUGACAAAUUAGCAAAUUUUGUGUCUCUGUGAGAAGCACGCCCCAAAAACUGUGGUUCCGUGAAAUUUAUUCACUAGUUACACUUUAUCUACAAACAUCUACGAUUCUAAAAUAGUUUGGUAUAUAUUUUCCGUAAUAUAAUUAUUUGAUAUUCUAAAUUCGGGGAUUUGUUCUUAUAAACUUGGUCGAAGUUUAAAAAGUUUGACUUCGGACAAAGUUACGACUUUUUACAUUUAGGAAUGAAGGGAAUACAUUUUAGUAAAGCAAUUGAGGAAUUGACAGAAUUAAAUAUCUUAAAUUAUACUGGUCCAUCGUGUACUCAUGGCAACAAAAUAAAUUUAUAGUCGAAAAGUUGGACCAUGAAAACUUAAAACGUGAUACAUUAAAAUUGUUGAAUCACUCUACAUCUUGUAAUUUUCUCUUGCAACCUUCUGGCGCGCUACUCAUUCCACAUUUGGUACUAUAUGUAUAAAUGUAUAUAUAUACCGCAUUAGGAGCCUCUAUUACUGUUUUAGUAUAAAUAGCAGUUUCCAUCGACUAUGCACUUCAUUAACUUUUUCUUCACGAGAUAACUUGCUUAUCGAUUUUCUUUAAUUAUCCAGAUGGCUUCUACUAGUUUGUUUCCUUGCUUACUGGGAUUUCCGCAGACUUUACGGUUAGGUAUUAUUGUCGUGUGGACAACACGGUGGCCGGAUGUUGAGAUGAUGAUGUCCUUUAUCUCCGUGUUGCUUCUGAGGACUGCGGAUCCGAGGCUAGUGGCGGUAUGGGAUGCCUCUCUACCUCUUGAUCAGGUCAAUCCGGCUCAGCAAGAGGCGGAUCGAUGGUGGCCGGUGUGACUAGAAGCGGGGAGGUAUAUAUGAAACGUUUCUUGCUUCCAGCAUCUCUUCUAGCGGUAUAUAUGUCGUCAGCUGGUUGAGGGAUUGAUGGCAAUCGAUCAUGGCUACGAUGACAUGUAUACGCGCCGGUAGGAACACAUAUCAGGCAAUGUCGAUGCACCUGCAUUGGGCCCUUGCUGAAGGUGGUGGUGCGUAUGGCAGUCUAAAGAUUUAAGACACAAAUUUAGACUUAAAACUUAAAUAAUCAAUUUGUGCCAGCGGGAAACACACAAACACGUACCGGUAAAUUAUCAUAAUCAGAAUUUGUCGACGAAUUUGAUAUUCUUUUACAAAAUAUACUUAUCUUAAUAUGUAUAACCGGAGUUUAUAUUACAUGCCCCUCUCCCAACGAUAGUUGUAGUACUCUUAUAAUAGUAGUACUCAUGAAUACAGUUAAUCCGGGUUGUUGGGAGAGAUCACAUGCAUAAAUACAACAUGAAACAAACGUGUGAAAAAGGUACAUAAAAUCGGUGUGACCCGUUCUUGUAUUAUAAGAAAUCAACUUGCUUAGGCCUUGCCGGACUCCUCACAACCCGGUGGCUUGAAGGCGAUGAAGCUGAUGCACUGCACUUGCCUGGUGUUGUCGAAGCCGAUGAUGCGGACAUAGGCGUCAGGGUACUCCUUCUUCACCUCCUCCAGCUCCUUUAGCACCUGCGUGGCGUCGGUGCACCCGAACAUGGGAAGCUUCCACAUUGUCCAGUACCUGCCGUCGUAGUACCCGGGAGAGUUGCCGUGCUCACGGAAGACGAAACCGACCUUGCUGAACUCGAGGCAAGGAACCCACUUGGAGCGGAUGAGAUACUCGAUCUGCUUCAAGAGGGACUCCACGGUGAGAGGCGGCAGGUAGGAAAGGGUUUCGAACUUCUUGAUGCCCUCAAUUGGCCACACCUACAAUUAGAUUAAUAAUUAGCACCGAAAGUAUAAUUUGAGACACAUAUCAGUAUUUCACUUCAACAUAUGUACAUGAUGACAUACAUACCUGCAUGCACCUGAUCCUUCCACCGUUGGAGACGCUGCCGAGACCAGCGCUGGCUGAGCGGCGGCCGAUGGGGAGCCCGGCGGUGGACUUGAGGCCCUGGAAAGGAGCAACGGCAGUAGCCGCUGACGACAUCACUGUGGGAGCCAUCGUACACGUACGUAGAUAGCUAACAAGAGGAGGCAGGCUUGCUUGAGUGCUCUCUAGCUACAGCGGCUUAUAUAACUGUAGGCUCCCCACCCAUCCAAUAUCAGCACAAGAUCUAGGAGGGGUGGCUGCAGUUCGCCGCGCGGAUUUGCCCAGGCCACGCUGGCAUCCUACGGAUCAGGUCGGGCGCCACAUGGCCGCACGAAAUGGCGCGCGUUAUCCUCUGGACGGAUACAAUUGGCUGCAACGCACUCUGCAAAUCAUGCCAUGAAGUGACCAAUUUUCACCUAUCAGGAUAGAUCCAAUGUGCCACGGCAUGCACUCAAAAACAGAACUUGCUAAUCCCUCCAAUCCAUAAAAAAUCUCGCCCACUUAUUAGAAAAUUUGUAAUGAGUUAAUGCAAAAUGAGCAGCACUUUUUAUGAACUAGAGGAACAACAAAUUAAGAGAAACUCUUCUAAGAUCUUAUCGAGAACGAAGCUUGCCCCCGCGUCGCUCAGUCUGGGGCGACACGGGCGGCAACCACACCAGCCCCGGCAGCAGCCUCUCCCCGUCCUCUCCUCCCCCUCGCCGCCGCCGGGCAAAGCCCGCACGGGGACGGCGGCGGCGGGGCUGUUUUUCUUGGCGGGGGUGUCCUAGAGCUCUUGGCUGAGGCGUUUGAGGUGCUGCCUCAUCGUGGUCGCGGCGUCUCCGGCCCGAUCCGGCAGGCUAUGCCUCGUCUUCGGCUAGAUCCGGCCGGCUUCCUCCCGGAUCCGGUGUUUCCCCUCGUUCUUCCUCUCCCUGGUGCUCGGUCUGCUCGUGGCUGCGCGGCUUCACGGCGGCGCUCUUCGGCCGGAUCUAGCUACUCGUUGGCCAGAUCCGUCAUCUCCUCCGGCUGAUCCGGCAUGUCCCAGGUCUCUUCGUUUCCAUCAUUUUUCCUCUCAGUUUGGUGAGGCGGCUGAUUGAACUUCACCGGCGGCAGAUGGGCUGCUGCUGCGGCCAUACAUGGUCCAAGUCGGUCCUUUUCGAUGCCAUGGUGGCGUGGUUUUCAUUUUCGGUCGCGUCUUCGGCUGCUGCCCGUGUGCGAGGUAUGGACGUCGGCUCCGGUGUUUGGAGUGUUGCUCUGGAUGAAAACUGCCCGUGUGCGAGGUAUGCCGAAGACAACGAUGUUGUAGCGCCGUUUUCCUUCUUGGAGGUGUCGUCGAAGAGCUUCACUUUCCCUCACUUUGAUGUUUGGUGUCUUCGGGUGAAAACCUAAGAUUUGGCUAUGGCCAGAUCGGGCGACAACGGCGUUUUUACGUCGAUUUCCUCCUUGGGGGCGUUGUCAUGGAGACAACGACUCUUGGUGGCAUCGGGUGGUGUGGUCCGUCUAUGGUGGAGCUUGUUGUCUCGAGUUGUUGAAGGUUUGGUGGUGUCUCUUCUUGUGUCAUGUGUUAGCUUAGGCUGUCGGUUUGUGUCCGGCGAGAACGUGCGUUUCUUAUCCUUUGGUGCGGUUUCGGCAUGUGAUGCCUUUCGUCUUCACUAUCGUCACGUAGGUGUCGUGUUGUAUUCUCGGUGGUGUGUGGUCUUUCGGCUUAGCCAACGGCAAGUGGAGGUAUGAUCUCGGUUGUGUAUUGCCCUUCGACUUCAUCGGCGGCACAUCGGCGUCGCGGUGGGUCUCAGUGACGCGCAGCCCUUCGACUCUGCCGGCUACGUAGGUGUCAUGGUGCGGCCUUGACCCUGUGCUUCCCUUCAGCUACGGCGACGACAUAGUGUCUGGGUGGGCUCGUCAGAUCGACGCCUUUCGACUACAUCAACUAUGCUCUUCAUUGUGCAUUUAUUUUGCCAUUGACAUGUUUCAAGAGUCUAGGUUUUUUCCUUGUGUUUCUUUUAGCAAAUGCUGUUCUGCAGGCUGGCUUUUGCCCACCCGAUCAGAAAAGAAAAACAAAUUAAAGGCUAAAAUCAAGCGAUGUUAUAUUCCCUUAGCUAUUACAAAUAUGGAUGAUAAGAGUUAUUUAUCCUUUUUCAACGAGUAACCCUUUACUUGGAAGUUCCAUGUGCAUGGCGCUGCAAGAAAACAAACAUCAUAAUGGGGCAAGACUUUUUUUUUUAUAAACAUCCAAUUUGGGUUAAAGUCUGAAAGAAUUUGGCUAUCUGAACUUUCAGUUUCCACAUUCUUUUACCUACUCAAUUCUUCAGCCAACAGGAUCAAUGGCGACCUACUAACACCAACCAGAACACAUGGGUCACAAACACGAAAAAGGGCUAGAAGGCUACUUAUACACACUCAUGUGUACUGCGAGCAAAAGAACAUAAUGUACAAAACUUUACAAAAUCUAGGGAAUUAAGACCUUCCCGUAUGCUGUUGCUGCCGCUGCUGCUUCAUGCUGGCUCUCCUGGCAACAUCCCAUGGUUUGUGAGGCACACCUACACCUUGCUGGGAUGCGAAGAACGACUCGUAUCCCGGGGAGUCGAAAGCAAAACCAGUGUGCUUGGAGUUCUCUCGAGGGAGCAUGGAGAUCGCAUAGCUUCUUGCUUCUUCUGGGCUCAAAUGGCUCCUCUCAGGCAGAUGUAUCAUGCUGUAUUCGUGGGGGUCAUCCUUGUGCAUCUCCUGGAUUACUUGGUAGUCAUAGGGAAAGAGCCAUCUUUGGAGCCUGAGAAAGCACACAGCAUCAAAGACAACAAUUGAUUCAGCUACUUCAGUAUGUACAAUGGAAGGAAUAACAAACGGAUGGCAUUAACAAACAUAUAAUUUUGCAAAAGAGCUGGUAUCUUACGAUAGAUACAGGAAAUCACCAAAGAGAGCGAUGACUGGAGCAAGCAUUAGUGUGAGGUAGAAGAAAAAGGUACUCAUCAGAACAUAAAUCACAAAAUAUACAUUUUCCUGCACAAGGUACACAGCAUUAAGUCAAUGCAUUUGUAGCAAGUAAUCGUCAUCAGCAGUGUAAUAGCUACAUUAUUCACCCACCUGUCGGUCAAAUGAUGUCAUUAUCGCAGAAUAUAUGAAGAUAAACAGAAACCAGGCCGCUAUACUGCCAGCUACGCUGAAAUAAUGCCAUCUCGUGAUAGAAUUGCACGACAUGAGGAGACGUAGAUUAACAGUCACCACAACACAAGUAAAGGCCAUCGUGCUAACAUCCCAUUGACCAAGAAUCUUGCCAGAUGAACCGUGACCAUGCUGACUUGCAGCUGCAGUAAAGUAAUAGAACACUAUUGACUGGUAGAAGGCAAAGAAACCCCACACCGCAAUCACUUUCCACCGGAAGAAUGUGUUCCUAAUUCCUUCUUGGUAAAGUUGUGGGUAUUUUUUUGAUAGAGAUGCACUCACAUCCUGAAAGGGUUCAGUUUAGUGAAUGUAGCAAGGAGCGUCACUCCAGAACAAGAAAAGUAGAACAAAUACAAGCAACCAUACCUUAUCAAACAACCCAACCAUAAUUACAGGUAGUGCCGUGAAAAUGACAUUAUACAGAGACUGGAACCAGUCAUCAUAAAAUCGCUGACCAGAAAAGCCAGUUUGGAAAGUGAACCAGAACUGAGUUAGUGUAAAAGUCAGAUUCUUGUAGAAGAAGUAUGUGAUAACCUGAAACAGAAAGUGUCAAUGUUAAAAAAAUUAAACUACACAGAUUGGCAGCUACAAGCUAAGGGACCAAAGCAUACCUUGCACAAUCUCAAGUAUGACCACCGCCCAUGUACAAGAAGUAAAUCCGUAAGAUAUCGAAACUGAGCAAUGGCAAAAUCACUCGCCAUAACAGCUUGCAUUCCUUCUUGUCCGCUGAUGCCAAUACCAACAUGAGCAGCUUGAAUCAUACUCACAUCAUUAGCACCAUCACCAAUACUGAGAGUUAUCUUACGUGCACCUUUCCUAACUAAACUUGCAACCUACAAAUGUGUCAACAUUACAUGUUUUGGCAUCAUUCGAACCCAACAGGUUAUUAGGAAAUAAAUCCAAAAAUAAGAGACUUUGAGAUUGCUGAUGGGAUGGGUAACAACCAAAUAAGCACAUAUACAAUAAGUUAAUUAAUACUACCUUUGUUUCAAAAUAUUAUACCAAAACGUCUUAUAUUUUGAAACAGAGAUAGUACUUAUAGUACAAGAGUGUACAGGACAUUUAGUUAAGAGGCCAAAACUAGAAUAGCAAAAGCAACCAAUGCACAGUGGUUAAUAAUGAUCUUGUGAAUCAUGCACAAACUAUUUUGUUGUCAAGGUACAAAAUUGGAUCCUUUAAAAUGUAAUAAUAUCAAUAUCCCCCGUUUAUUGCCCAAGCAUCCUGAAAGGCAUGCAGCUGAGAGCUGCAGACCAUACUGCUAAUUAUUUCAUGGGAAAAGGCAAGGCAUGCAUGAUAAGAACGCUAAAAGCGAGAAUUGAUAUUUACCUGUGCCUUUUGCAGUGGAGAAACUCGACAACAUACAACUGAUUGGCAAAUUAAACUCAAACCAAGAAGAUUCACACGCAGAGCUGGGUCUAGAGCGUACAUCAAGCAUCGUCCAUCAAUAAUGAAAGCCAACUUUCGUCCUGGCGUGCUCCUCAAAGAACGGUGGGCUUCCUCAAGGUAACUUCUCAGACUCUGUUUUACCGAGUCUUUGAUAACACGUGCAAUUUCCACAGGGUCUCCCUGAAAAUGACUGGAACAUUAUUCAUGGCAAAGAUAUGUGCAUAAGUUGAUUUACAUCAAUCAGAUACAAAUGCUAAAUUGCUAAUUAUGGUUGAUCAAACUGCAAAACACACGAGAUAUCCAAAAGGCUAUAUAAACAUGAUGGAGAGGCUAAAGCACUGAAACAACAGAAUCAACAUAAAGUAUUUUGUACUAUUAUGCAACUAAGCCUUUUGUCCCAAGCAAGUUGGGGCAGGCUAGAUAUGAAACCCAAACAGAAACUAAAGCAAAGUGCAGGUAACAAAAGAGCAAGAGAGUAAAUCAAGGUUCAGGCACAUGGACUGCUGAUUUCCAUGCAGCCCUAUCAAAAGCAAAAUCUCUAGAUACAUUCCAGUCCUUCAAGUCCCUUUAACUGCCUCCUACCAAAAGCAAAUAUCAUAGUAAUCCACCAACCAAAGUAACAAGGGAACUACUUGUAACUUCUUAGUUCACAAGUACAUACCAGUUGAGCUAUCCAAUUAUUCUAAAUAAUAUGGUUUGAUACCUUUACCAAAGUCUCAACUUGUAUUCAUUUUAAAGCUUAUACAAGAUAUUAUAUGUUAUGGCUUAACAGUCUCCAUGACACAAUAUGGCUUGACUUCACAGUUUAAUUCUAUAGGAUUAUCUUACCCUGUCUUCAGCAUCUCUAAUUGCAUCUGUCUCAGAAGUGAUGAUGAAUUGUUUUGUAUCGUUAUUCACCAGGCUGCACGCUGCAGAGCAAAAACUAAAUAACUUCAGAAGCUUUUCUAUGUCAGGUGAAAGAGAGAGAAAAAGACCGCCCGCCCCCCACCAAUAAUCCAAAACUGAGCUUCUAUUAGACCCCUUAAGAACGAAACAAGCAUGCAAAUUGAUCUAUAUAUAAUUAAAACCUCACCAUAUGCUAUAUUAAUUGCUGUUUCCAUUUUAUCUCCAGUUAGCACCCAAAUUUUUAUGCCAGCUGCAGAAAGAGUUUCAAUGCAGGCUGGAACCCCUUCUUGCAGUUUGUCUUCUAUUGCAGUGCACCCUAUCAAUAUAAGGUCCUUUUCAAUCAACUCAGCCACCUACAGGGGAAGAAACAGAAGGAAAUUAUAUGGCAAUGUCCCAGCAAUAUCUUAAAUCAGAAUAUACAUUAAGUCUAUUACUUCAAAUUCCUUUUUCCUAGAAAUCACAGUGAACUUAGUACAUGAAAGAAUGAAAGGAUAAUGCUUUUCUAAUGGGGAUUUGAAAAAACAUCAUAAAAAUAAUAAUAUAAAGUACUGUAUGUUCUUGUUCUAGAUAAAUUACAAAUAUCUUUUGCUCAUGAUCCUCUUUCCUGACUAAAAAAUAUAUAUUAUUAUGUAAAAUACUAAUGUUCUAUGGCAGUACAAGAUAAUAAAUUAGCACAAAAAACUAUUAAACUGCAAAUGUCAGCUGUUAGGGAUGGAUGACAUGACUCCUGUAGUUUUGGGGGGAGAGAGAGAGGAGACACACUGAACAAAUUACUUCCUUCGUCUCCAAAGAUUGCCAUGCCACAUUCUAUUCGGUCAGUCAACCUUUUACAACUUCAAAAUUAACAAUUAUAAGUGAAUUGAAUUACUACAUGAAAAAUAACAGCACUCAAUUUGCUUGCAUAAUAAUUUGUACGCAAAACUUUUGCUUGUAUAUUAGCAUAGAAAUCAUAGCCAGAGUUUUAUGUUGGGAGAAUAUAAAAUUAAAAAAUGGCCUACAUUUGUCAGGUACAUUCAGUUAAUUGUUUCCAAAACCAAAUUAAUUUUCAUACAUAAAUACCAAACGGAUCAAUAGCAUGCUCAACAGUGCACAUGAGACUCGAGUUCAGUACUGGAUGACAGAAAGUAAAAAAAAUCAGGCAAGCACUAGAAGGUGGAGGGGAAGUAAUCGAAAUUCAAAUCACAGGGACUGUUCAGCCUGUAUACUCAACAGAAGAGGAUGGUACACAUACCUCAUCAAGCUUCUUAUCACGAUCUCGUAAAGAAGAUUUAGCUUGAACAAACUUCUCAUUCCAGCUUUCGUACUGCUCCCUGCUUAGAUCUCGAUAAGCAAGGCAAAGCGUGCGCAAGCCAGCAGAGCCAAAUUGUUCUAGAUGUUCUCUGCUUGUCUUUUUAAUGUCAUGAUUUCCAUCAGCUAACCGUUCAAAAAUGACAUUAUCAGCGCCCUGUUACACAACAUUUGUAUAAGGUUAGUGCAUCAAUCUACAAAGUGAUAGCUACAUAAAGAUUCUUUUUUCUUGUAUUACCUUGCAAUACAGAACAAGUUUUCCAUUUGGGAAACGGCAAACCACAGAUUGGCGCUUUCUUGUACUGUGAGUGCAGUAAAGUGUGAAGUGCAGAACAAUGAUUUCAUCUUGUCAAAUUUAAAUUGAAAACAGAUAAACCAGACCUGUUGAAUUCCAAAACAUUCAGAAUUUCAUAUGCAACAUCUUGUAUACUCCCCAUCCUCUCAACAUGUGAUUCCCGAACCAAGACUGUGGUUGGCGUACGUCUACAAGACAGGCACAAAAUGUCAACCACCGGCAUUGCCAUUCACAAUAAAAAUGCCACAUGAAAUAAUUUGCAACAAAAAUCAUAAGAACUUAGAUGAGUUCAUGUUCACAGCACUUGCUUUAACACUUGUCUUAAUUUACAACGGCAAUUUUUUGUUGAUGGGCUAAUAGUUUAUUUAUGCUUCUUAGUAUGUACAUUCAGUCCUUCAUACAACAAACUAUAUAAGCAAUAACCUGGGUGAGUGACUCUUUUAUGCACAUUUUCCUUGGGACCAUAGCAUAGUUUUUUAAGAUACCUUGUUUGCAACAAACUGAUAAGAGGAAUCUAUAACUGUAUUUAAAGGCAAGGUAAGACAUGCCUAUAAAAGAAGAAACCAAAAUUCUUCGCAGCAGCGACAAGCGCGGCCUCGUCGGGAGAGGCAGCUUGAUAAGUAAUCUUUUCCGGUGUCUCCUCACCCUCAGGAAGAACUGUAUGACAGAUUGCAAGGCAUCUGCAGAAUUGCUAUAGAGCAAAUAACAAAGUUGUUACACAACUAGCACAUUAACAAGGGAAAAUGUGAAAAAGGAAAAUAGGUUCCAAAUUUUAUUAGUAAGGGCAUAUAUCGUGAUAUGUGAAUAAUUUGUGUCAACUAAAUCAAAACUGAUUAUGACCAAAGGGGAACCAAUCGAACUAUUCCACAGGUAGUCCCGUAUUUACCACGCAAGCAUCAGGAUUAGGUUCAUUUCUCCAUGCACCACGCAUUAUUCUAGCAUCAUCAAAGUUGAAUCCUUUCUCAUGAACUGCAGUGGCUGAUCUUUUACCCUAAAAAAGGCAAGUAAACUGGAUAUUAAAUCAGUUGUGCAUUAAAUUUUUCAUCAUAUACCACCACACUUCAAUAGCGUAAACAACAAAGAAAAUGUUGUAGACCUCAUCAUCAUCAAUCUUGACUCCGGCUCGCUCGGCUCCUCCUUUUUCAAUCUCUGUGAUGCCAGUUCCAUAUAUUUCCCCUCCAAUCGAACAUUUAAAGAAUUCCAUCAAGUUUCUUGUAAGUGUUCCAGUUUUGUCAGAAAAUAUAUACUCAACCUGAACCAUUAGUGGGGCAAAAAAAAUUUGGCAGAAAUGUCAAAUUAUUUGCAAGUGUUAAGUGCAUUUUAGUACCACUCGGCAUUUGUUCAGUCAUAUAAGCAUUUCUGGGGAUCUAGAACAGUUUUUCGGUGGGAGUAAGUCACUUAAUAUUAGUGAAAUGAGACUGUUCCCCAAGUGCUUAUAAUUGAUCCCACUUUCUGGAAUGAGUCGGUGCAGUGAGGUCAUUCUAUCCAUUAACCAAACCCAGCCAUAUAGGUCAAAUAAGUAAAUAACCCCAUUUCAGCAACAAACAAAGGGGCUUUCAUCAAACUAAACAGAAUGCUAAGGAACAAAAAAAAAACUGAUAUUACCUGCCCAAGCUCCUCAUUCAGAUUAGAAGUCCGAGCCAAAGCUGGGGUGUUGCUCUCGGCAUGAUACAUAUUCAGAUCAUUGUUAAUAAACUUUGCACACUGAAUGAAUUUGAUCAUCUGCCAGCCAAAAUAAACAUAAGGUCCAAUCCAAAUACAGGGUACACUAAAUGAUAAAUUGGUCAAUAUACCUCAAUGGAUACAUAAAGAGAAAUGGGGAUGAUCGUUGAGUAUAGAGUUAUUAGAGUAAACAUAGUUAAAAUGGUCACCUGCAAAAGUACAAACCUAUGAUAUAAGGCCACUUAGAGAAUAUUCUCUACAAUAAAUUAACUAAAAUAAUAUAUACCACAAAUCUGUUCUUGGGAUUAAACUGGUCCUCGACACGCCCACGCAAUCCAAGAUAGAAGUAUUUCUCAUUAAUAAACACGCCACUGUUCACAAAAGCCAAGUAUGAUGAGUCCAUUGGUAGAGUUUUAGGUUUCUAAAGAACGUGCAAGCUAAGCAGUCAUAGUUACCAAAAUCUAUAUGCUGAACAGAGCACUUCCAUUUCUGACCAUCUAGAAAGUGCCCUAUUAUGUACCUCCCACAUAAAACCACUAAGAAAAAAGAUAAGGCUAUUAAGACCUAGUCAUGUGCUCAUCUAUACUGCUCCUAUGCCACAAUAAAAAAAUAACUUCCCCAAACAAGCUCCUGACAACUCAUGUCAUAAUGUUUAAAGUUUAUCUCUCUAUUAACAGUUGUUUUUUCAUGAUCAAUUAAAUUGUGAAAAAUGAUUGUGCAAGCAUAAGCCUCCACAACAUCAACCUAACCGAUAUAACUCAUGUUCAGAGAAUAUACAUGUAAACAAUAAUACAAGAUAGAUAAGUCAAAUAAAUGAAGUGGGCCAAAUAAAACACUGACCUUCCAAUAGCACCAAUGACACACAUCGUAAAGAGGGUUGCAAAUAGAGCAAGAAUAAGCUUGUCUAGUUUCUUCUCCAAUGUACUUCUUUUAGAGGGAACAUUCAUAGAAUUCAUCAUAACCUGCAAUAGUGUCCCACUGCAGUAAAUCUCAAAACUAGAAGCACAUCUAACCUACAAGUUGAAUAUAUAGGGACACAAAAUUGCACAUACUUUCGUCUCAUGGCCCGUGAAUAUAACAGCCGCGACAAUGUACUCUGUAUUACGAAGGCUGCAUCCCUGUGGCAAAGUGGUAAUAAGAGGUUGCAUGUGUGCCACAUAAAGAGAGAGAAUUAAGUGUCAUGCAAGACACCGUUCAGUCUGGUGAAAGUAAACAUUUCUUUUGCACUUUACAAACAUUGCUUCAACCCUUCACCACUUAUCCUACAUAUGGGACUAGAGAAGAAAUGGAAGUUGUUUAUAUGAAUGUUAAACAUUUCCAAAUUGUUUAUAUCAUAGCUAUCCUUGUUUGCAAACCAAUAAGAACAAUAUUAUUAUAGAGGUGUUUUAUGAUGAAAAUUUCUGCUGGUGACAUUUGGGUGUCGUCAAUAUUGGUAUUUGGAGGAGAUGUUGGUGAUCAAAGUUAAAGGCCGAGUAAAGGCAUCACGCUAUGAUGUUAUUUUUUACCUGAGGGAUUUUCUUAACAAACUCAUGCUAAAUCUAGAACAUGCAAACAACUUUGCAGGUGGACAAUCUUGUAAAGAAAUUUCAAGGGCAUGUUUGUGUGAGGGGUAUUACUUUGGUACGUGUUGGUAACUACAUACCUAAUUGUUACAAGAAAAAUCUCAUCCAAACAAGCCCUAAGGACAUUAUGGACCUUGCUACUGCAAAGUUGGUAAGUCGAAAAUACGACAGGAUGUCUGAUUGAUAUGUAGGACCUGGACCCACAUGUCAUUCUCACAGCGAGUCGCACUAUUUCAAAUGUCAACUUUGUGGUGGCAUGGUUUCAAUUUUCCCAAUAAGAAACUAGAUACAAAUAGCAUAGAUGAACAGCACUUACCCUUAGUAGUAUUUGAUUUGGUGAAAUUGGUAUAGUUUGCUUGUCCACAAUAAGGUUCCCGGUAAAUGUAUAAAGUGAAUUGUUUGGCUGUUCGCAUUGUAUUUCACCUGUAAGCCAUGAAACAUACAGAUAAUGUGAAGUUAAGAAAAUGUAGAAUAGUUAAGUGAAGUUCAGAAAAGGAGCAAUGCUUCCUACACCAACUACCGAAAAAUGUCUGCAACAUGGAACAAGAAUAGAUAAAAACCUUUGAAUUCAGAAGCCUUUUCAGGAAUUACGCAGUCCCAGGUUUUCUCCAAAGCCUUCCUUAUUUUCAGGUUAGUUUCCCCAUCAAGAUUUGCUGUCUAAGGUAAAUAGAAGUAUGAUACACUUCAAUUAAAACAGAGUUUCUCUAAAUCAUUCAAUAAUUUCAAUUUGGACAAAAGAUGGAGAAGGUAAGAAUGAAUAUAUUGACCUCUAUGUAGCAGACACCAUCAGGGUUCGUACUUGAUAGGAAGAGCAAGUCAGAAGGAAAGUAAGUGUCUUGCUUGAUCUGCUCUAAAGAAGUGCCAUCACUAUUAGUCUUUUUGGAUAUGUGUAUCGAGCUGAAGAUUAAAUUUGCACAGCACAAAAGAUCAAGUGCAUUAAUUUGUGGAAGCAACAGAUCAAUUGAAUUGAUCAUCAAAUUGCUAUCAGGAAAGAUGAAGACAUUACCCUCACAAUAUCUCCAACCUGCAGUCUUUUCCAAGGGGCACUUUCCCAUUUUUGACCUUGCAAUACAUCGACGUGCGCAUUAUUAAUUGACAUGUCAUUCUGGAAACGUUUCUGUAUAAUGGGAGGCAAACAAAAAGGGAAGAAUAUCAGAUAACAUUAAGAAUAGCAAUAAAAUAGUGGAGCAACAGAGCAUGAGAGCAAUACUAACCCAGUCCUCAAAAGCUUCCUUGAUGAGUGAAACCAAAAGCACUAAACUAAGUGGAACCACAUUGGUGACAGGGUGGACUGGACUGCGAAGAUACAAGCAUGUAUGAACUAAGAUUUCUAGAAGUAAAGGUGAAGGAAAGCAAAGGAUGACUGAAUCAACUGAUGGACUUGAUAUGCUAAGAAGUGUCUAGCUGUAACAUGAGAAUUCCAUAGGGUGCAUGCAUGAGAGAGAGAGAGAGACCUAAUUGGUGUAGUCGACAAGAUUGAAAUCAUAAGAAAGUAAAGAUUUGCCACCCGUCUGAACUGUCAAAGCAAAAAAAAAAACAAAUGAAUUACAAAAGGUUCCUAUGGUCAAAUUGCGAUAAUACAGAAAGGGAACAUCUAAAUCGGUGUUACAGCUACCAUUGCAAAGUUUCUUUAUUCGAUAUGGAAAAAUGCAUUACAUGUUUAAUGUAUGAAGCCAUUGAAAUACUUUAAUGUACCUUACGUAAAAAACAGUGGAUAAUGAAAUUGCCAGAAUUAUGGUAUCGCAUAAAAUGAAGGUUACAUUGAGCGAAAAGCAUGAUCAGGGCUUUACCAAAUAACAAAAUCAUACUUCUCCUUUUCUCAAUAUAUGGCAUUUUAGGUUUCAUUGAAGACAAGUCUUUGAAAAGGAUUUACUUUGUGUUGUUUUUAAGGCAUGAAAUUUAUAUCACUAGAUUCAUCCUCAAAAGUACUUAAUGUGGAUUCAUAUCAUAUAAAUCACAUAUUAAUGAAGUAAUUCUUGGUCAAAGUCUUGUAUUAACGAAACCUAAUAUGUCCUGUAUUGACAAAAUGAGGGAGUAUAUUAUCUAACAGUGCAUGUAUACAGGCACGAUACUGGUAGCGCGUAUUACAAGCAAGGUAUCUUAAAAACAUUGCAACACAGUGCCAGACCAGGUAAGCAACUAAGCAUCUCAUGUAUCCACUAUUUUAAGGGAAGUUGAUCCAGAGUGAGGAAAUAAACAUUUUUAAGGAGAUAUAUCAAUUUGCAAUGUGAAAAUGAUACGGAGUAGUAUAAUCAUUUCACUGUGAUAACAAAUACUCCCUCCGUUCUAAAUACUUGUCGCUGUUUUAGUGCAAACUAAAACAGCGACAAGUAUUUAGGAACAGAGGGAGUAACUUCCAUUUACCGUUAGACAUGAUACAAAAUAAUAUGUUGAAAAAAAAUCUAGCCAAAAACUAAAAAACAAACAGAAAAUCUGCAUUAAACGAUGACAAACCCAGCAGGUAUGUUGAUUAACAAAAUAUGUAUGAACAAAAAACAACGCAUCAAUACCUGUUCAAACAAUCCUUUAGGUAGAAAUGUCAGCACACUGUACUUUGUAGUCGACACAGAAUUUCCCUGGAAAUGUAGAAUGAGAAUGUUAAAGAACUAAUUCUAGCAGAAAAACAAAGUAGCGCUCUGCAUUAGAAUCGCGAUGGUCUGAUACCCAACAUGAGGGAGAUUCUGAAACUAAACAGAAGAGCUAAUUGCAACUAGAAGCAUGAAAAAAGUAUAGCUUGAUCUUUUUACAACAUCAAGUCUGAAUACAUUCAAGCAUUUACACUAACUUGGAACAAAAUGUGGGUGUCAAAGAAAAUGCAUGAAUACACCUACUUACAAUAAAGCACCAAUUUUGCAGUGAUUGGACAAACUAUGGUUAAAAUACUUAAUAAUAGAGUUCUACGUAUUUGGAGGCAUAAAACGCAUUGCAGUUGGAGCAGUGGCAUUAUCAUGUUAGUCAGUCUAACAUGGCAGUGAAUGACGUGAAUUUUUUGCUAGUUUAGACCUCUGGCCAGCGCAAUUGACAAAAAUGCCCCCCUCUCAAAACUAAUGCCAAAAAUGGUCUGGCAGAAGGCCCGAAAGGCGCCACAUUUCAUUUUUCGCCAUCUGAGCUGCGCAUGCAAACAUUCCGACAACCUGAAAGGCGGAAAGGCCGUUCCGCCUACUGCAUUUGAUGAAUGCACCUGACAAGGGCGGAAGGUGAACUGGGCCCUGCAGAUGGAAGCAAUUUCCACAUUUGUUACAGACCUGGAAUCUUUUUUUUUGUUGGAGUCGACGGACCAUGUAUGUGCGGAUGCAUAGGAAUCGGCAAGCAGCCUAGCUGCUAGUUCACGGGCACGUUUUACAUUUUCUUUCCUCAGGUUUGGCUAGUGCUACCACGUUGAUACUAAUCAACGCUUCUUGUGAAUGGGCUUAGUUGCUUCUACUAGUCGUGCGAGCGUUAAUCUUUUCUCUGUGCGCCUGCAUGUGCGGGCGUGGGAAUCGGGUCAGGUCCCUGCAGACAGCACGCCUGGCUGCACUGGGCCUGCUUCAGCUUCCGCCCCUGAAAAUUCACUUUCGUCCAUUUCAACUGGAAACAAGUAGGCUCCACCUGUCCUGUUGGCGGAAAGUUCAUUCCUCCUACCCAGUGGCCACUGGGUCAGUUGCUGGGCUUUCCACCACGUCAUUUUUCAAAUUAUAUUUCAGAUGGAGCUAUUUUUGCCAAUUCCGUUUGACAAGGGGCUACAAGAGCAAAGAAAUUGAAUGACAUAGCAAGCAAUCAAUUUCCCCUUAUAGGUAAAUAAUAAACAGCUUUGCUUCAGCUUACUGUCAUCAGCUGGUGGCUGACUGCCCUGACCAAACACAAGUUCAGUAAUCUACACAGCAAGCGGCACACAGGUGCAGCUAAGCACAUGGAUGAACAGAAUAUUCCAGCCAUUGAGGCUCAGCUCUCGAAGCUUAAUGCCAGGUGGCAUCUACAUUGUAUUGCAGCCCGUAGCACCCUGAUUGACUAGUAACCCAACAAUGAGACAAGCUCUAAUCCACCCAAUGACCUCACAGUUGGCAAGAAAUGCAGCCCUUAGUGACACGCACCACCCUACAUAACUUUCUCGUGGACUAAUCAGUAUGAAUCAUAUAAACCCUCUGCAAGCUGCAGUGAAAUAAAACUACUACUACUGAACUAGCUAUUGUCCCAGAUGGCCAUCUCCAACCCAACCGCCCAAGCAUGAAACAAGGGGCCAGUUACGAGAUCUAGGCCUACAGACCCCUAGACCUUGAGACAACCGACCUGUUGAUCAUCCGAAUUAGAGGAGGAGGUGCACACCCGUACCUUGUACCCGACCGGCGCGUUGGCUUCGCGGUCGUUGCAGUAGAUGGUGCGCACGGUGGGUGCCUGCGGCUGCGGCUGCCGUCGGAGGCUGCCGCCCCCGCCGCCGAGACGCGCCGUCCUGGACGCCUCAGCGCGGCCGGCCUGAGAGGUCCCCCCCCGCGGCGACUGCUCGCCGCCCAGCCGCGCGGUGGCAACCCGCAUCAUCUCCUUUAUGCGCGAGCUCAUCCUGCCCCCCUCAGCGCCAAACCCAGCGCUGGAGGAGCCGGCGGGAGAUCUGGGGAAACCUCACGGUGGAUCGGAGGGGAGACCUAGUCGGAUUUGCGCGGCUUUCUGGUGGAUUUCAGUGCCUCGCUGAGGAGGGGAUUCGAUUUGGGUCACGCGUUCCCGUAUGUGCGUAUUUUUUCCGUGUAAUUUUUUUGUUUUGCCUUUUUCUUUUCCUUUGGCUCCGGGAGAAGAGAAGACAGGAGGGGAAGGAAAAGCGAAGGUCGCGACUUCGCGAGGAAGAAAAUGAAGGGAUUACUGCAGAUCACACCCUUGAUUAUUUUCGAAUAUGGAAAGCUCCAGUAACUGAAGUUUGAAAUUCCAGCCGCGUUUGUCUUUUCCUUCUUCGAGCAAACAACCGUGUUCUUGACUUGUUCUAUGUUUUUGCUGUCCGGAGGACUACCCGAUUUGCAAGUAAAUAAUGGCAUUAAUUUCAUAUAAGCACUUUAGGACACCACACUUGACAUGGUUUUCUACUGACGACGACUAUAUGGUGGCUUUGAUGUUCCAUGAAUAGAUCUUUUUAGCGGUGUUUCAAGUUCAGGUGUUAUAACAAAGCAUUACUCUUGACCUAUCUUCCCUUGCGACCAUGCUUUUUGAAUCGCCAAGUCGAGUCGAAUCGCCCCCCAACAGACUUGGAGGUUAGUAUGAUUAGUCAGAAACUAGUCUCGACUAAUCAACCCAAGUCGAGCCUAGUGAUCAGUGAGGUUUAGGGAGCUCUAGCAGGGAGCAUUAGAGGAAAGGAGUGAAUUGCAGUAGAGGGGAAGCACGAGGGAACAGUUUUUGUGGUGCUGGAGCUUGAAGAAGAGGUUCAUGGCGGCUAGGAUCUAGGAGUCGAUAAACUUAGAACGCCCGUGUUGAGGCAAACGCGUUGAGGAAGACGACUUCAAAGGUGGUUGGCUCAUUAUCAGGAUAGGUGCGUGCCUGGCAGCCCAUAAAGGCCUAUUAGAAAACCCUAACUCCCCCCUCCCCCCCCCCCCCACACACACAUUGCCUUCUUCUACACCACACACGCACCAAUGGCGGCCAUCUUCUUCCCCUUCCCUGCUGCUCCCCAUGCCUUCUCUCCCUCCCCGAAAAGAAAUAUCUUCCGAAAAUUCUUCUCUUCGAGUCAAGUUGAGGGGCUCGCGGCGUUCCUAGUCACGGCGGCUAGUCGGAGAAGUCGCGGUUCUAGCUGACGAGUCGCGCGACUUGCUCUGCUAGUCGAGUCGCGGCUGCAAGCCGCCAUCAUUGUGCUGGCUCGGCGACUAGUUGGCGAUUCAAAAACCAUGCUUGCGUCUUAUAAUUUUGUUUCCUCUUAGAUUUUUUUCAAUUAUGUAUGGAACUCUUUUAAGCUUGGCUAACAUAUUGGGUCAAUUUGUCUCCCAUUGAAAAAAAAACAAUUUCCUAUAAAAAAUAAAGUAUCCACAAAACAAUAUGCAUAGCGCAGUUGUUUUCAAAGUUGUGGAUGAAACUUUGUGUUGUACAGGCAACCACUUAAUAACUUGUUCGGUUGUAGAAUUCCCCGCAUGUAUUGAAGAGGAUUAAGAGAGAUCUAAGGAAAAUUGAUCUGCAAUUCGAUCAUUCCCUCUUAAUCCCCAUCGGAGUGGAAUCAACCGAACGGGGCUAAUGUGGACCAUAUCACCUUGAGGACUCCAUUCUUCUUUUAUGGCAACGUUGCAUGGACCUUGAUAUGAACGCACGUGCCUGCAAUCUCUAUUAUUUUUUCGUAAAUAGCAACUGUCCUUUCUGUAUCUUGUAAUAUGUUUUCUACAAUUUUAUUUGGGAUAUUUCGUCAAGAACCCAAAUCGAUUACAUUUUCCACUUUGGCGAAUGAGUCAAGAUUCUCCAUGUGUUCCAGCGAGGCAACUGCGAGCUACACAUGUAUGGUGAAACAAGCCUCGCAACUUCGUAAGUAACUCCAAAACUACAUCAGCACGUCUCUUGAACUUUGGAAACACACAGACGUGUUCCACGACCGUGAGGCGACGGAGUUAACGGGGCAGCGUUGCCGGAAAGACAAGAGUACCGUAACAAGGCCCAGACUGGGCUGCAUCGGCGUUCUGCCUCUAUUACAAGCGAGAGAUGUUGAACCGGCCAAGGUUAGGCAAGGCAGUCAGCGGGAGGAUUUUUUUUUUUUUGUUGUUGGUUUUGAAGAGGCGCGGGAGGAGAAGAACUUGCUUGACCAGCCCACAAGAUCGUGAACCGGUAUGACAUUGACAUUUUAUUUAGGGCCAGUAACGUGUAAUUAGAAGUACUAGCUUACAUCUCUUCCUUUUUGAACCGUCAGAUCUGCAACCAUAUCAUCUCUCCCCUUUGUCCUCUUCGCUAUGCCGAUUUUAGUGAAACGCCGCUGCCAAAUCUUCACAGGAUUGUGAACCGGCAGCAGCUUCGACCCUUCAAUAUUAUUAUUACAGCUAAAUAAAAGACUGAAAUUAUAGGUGAGGUCCUUUGUUCUAAUCGCCCAAGCGAGCAGAAGCCAAGAGAUUACGUGCAAGCAUAGCAUGGCCAUGUUCGCCAACUCAUGACAUAGUGGCACAGGGACUAACCACCUGGAUUACAUGGCUAGCUUCCAUAUAUGUGCAACAAAAUAUUGGUACCAGGCAGCCAUCUGUGCCACCAACCAUAAACUCCCUGAUCCCAAAAAAUACAAAAUACCAAGAGUUUCCACCCACAUCAGUACAAGUGCACAACAGUUUAAGAGACAAGCCAAGGAUCAUUCCCAGUUUGUGGGAAUAAAUAAGAGUCCGCAGCAAACAGAAAACUCAAAAUCGCUGGCAAAGUUAGGAUGUGGAAAAAAGAAAGGCUUAAAAUGAUCUAGCCAUGGCGUCAGAAUCUAUUAUCAAUGUUUCUCUCUCAAGGAUUUCCCUUCUAUAUAAAGUAUAAUAUUACAAAGGGGCUGCUUAAAUAUCAUGGACUCCUGGAAUGUAAAGAGGGUAAUAAUCAACACUACAUGAGCCUCCUUUUUCCUGAGGCUGCUUCCUAAGACUGACUGACUGCUUCCCCGAGGAUCCACAUACACCCUCCCCUCUCCUCAAGUUCCACCUCCCACCAUGGAAGUUAAACCCCCACCAUGGAUCCGAUGCUAACCAACUGUACGCGACCUGGAGAAAGUCAGUCAGCUUGGUGGUUCAAUCAAGACAGAGCAUCACGAUAUUGCCCAAAUGGUAUAAUUGGCAGGAUCAAUAAGUAGUUUAUGCUCGCAGCAAGAUCCAAAAGAACCAAUCUACCAUGACUAAUGUAUGACAAGAAUGAUGUCUUAUGUCUACUUUCAGAUACACUAUGGUCCAGGUGAAACAAUAUUUUAAAGUUUAGUAAUUACUGGCAGUAGUAGACAGACCACAGAAGUGUAAAGAUAUUUGCACACAUGACCUUUUAAUCCAAGGCUAACCCAACCUUGUAAGCUACGUGCUGUUUGUGCUAACGCUGCUGCUUGAAUGCAAUUAGACAGUGGUGAUGUCCUUGUUAGUCUGUUACAUACCUAAGGCAUCACCUCCUGAUUCUAGGUUUGCACCGGAACUCUGCUAAGAGCGCUAUGUGAUCUGAUGACCAUUCAGGUGAAGGAAGAGCAGUGUCUUUUCUUAAGCUCUCCUCAUCCAGAAGUUCCAACAAAGACUCCACGGUCAACGAAUCCGCUGAAACAAUAAAGGAAACAUGAUCAACUGACCAUAAUCAAACAUAUCACAAUACUACAAGCUGAUUCUGAAGCAAUUCCCAGAAGUCUAAAUACAGCAUACAGGUCAGGUACCUACCUGUGUAAAAUAUAUAAUCAACAGUUCCAGUGAAAUCCCUUGUGCAAUUUGUGAAAAGUGGUUCAUUUGUUCCUGGAUCCAUCCUCCUUCGCUGGUGCUCUAAAUCAUAGCCAACACCUACCAUUCUUGCAAAUGAAGAAUAUGCACUGACCUGCAAACAAGUAAACAUUGGUCAGAAUUUUAAAGGAAGAACAAGAUAGACAAGCUUGAUAGUUUUACUGUACCAGAGGAAGCUGGUGCGUCAACUUGCUCACGGGGCGUAAAAUUGAAAGUGGGUCUAUGGCCAGAUCUGGAUGCAAUUGAUCAACUUUGCCCACCGCAAGAAGCCCAUGUGGAGUACUGAAAGACAAAAGGAAGCACUUAGAGAUUUAAAGUUAGAAAAAACAAGUAAACCUGAAAAAUAUUGCUCCAAUAGAAUCUUGACAUGCACCUCCCCGGGAUUGAAUUGAAAUCCCCACAGACCAACAUUGGAAUGUCUGCACUGUUGGCUAUUUUCUCCAAUCCUUUUAGUAGUGUUUGAACCUGCAAAAAACAUACUUACUUUCGAUCUGAAUUUUUCAGAUGUUGCAGAAUGCUAGCCUACAGAGAAUGUGACAAUACUGACCUCCCAUAGUUUCACAUCUUUGAGGUCUUGGUGGACAUUUACAUGUGUAUUGGCCUGAAAUUUGAGAUCAUUUAAAAGAAUGAGACCUCCAUGACUCCAAGUAGCAUAAGCCUAGGCCGUAUGAACAAUGGGAAAUCUGUAGUAAAGUUGGCCUCAAAAUCUAGAGUCUAGAGAGCCAAGUCCCAAUCAUCCGCCAUUAACAUAUAGAUGUUUCCGUGCAUCUUAUGCUACUAAGGUCAUCCUACACAGAUAUAUGUUUCACUUCAUUCCUAAAUGUUGUGAGCAAAGAAGGAAAAGAAUCCAUAUGUUGUUCUGCACUAUGCUGCUAGCAGUUCAAUAGCUAAACAUACGGGAAAGUCCACUUUUGGCCCCUUAACUAUUGCCUCAGAUCAAAAUCAUCUAAUUUGCACCCUCAACUAUCAAAAGCAUCCAAGUUACAUCUGAAGGCAAUAUUUGUUAGAGGCUUUGUGUGAUGUGGCAUCCAUGUCAACGUGUUUUGCCACAUCAAUCGCUGCUGGGCAGUAGGGCCCACAUAUCAUGGCUGCCGUGCCCCUUCUUUCUUUAUAAUUCUUCCUCCUUAGCCAUGCCAUGGCCUCCUCUGUAGGCUAUAGCUUCCACUGCUGCUGCUACAGAUAACCCAUGUUUGACGUUGCAUAACAUCUUCUGAUUUAGAGAGGGGUAUCCUGACAGACAUGUACCAGUCUCCGCAAACCGCUGCACGGCUGCAUCCUGAGGGGAAUGGACAAAGAGAGGAUUAGAGAGGAAGGCUGAGGAGGGAGGCGUUUAGGGCGACUCCAACACGGCCACCCAAAUCGGACACAAAAAGUGUGUCCGUUUGGGUCUGCUGGUGCCCCUAACACGGUCACCCAUUUGGUCCGUUUUAUUAUUUAGUAUUGGCCACGGAUAGGCGGGCCAGGGCAAGGACAAGGGAGGACAAGCGCAGUGUCCACCCGCUGUCCGCCCAGACACAAACCCGGUCAGAUUUGGGUCGGCAAUGGGUUGAGCUGGACAGAAAAGCAGACAGCCGCCACACCGGACGAAAUGGGUCGCCGCGUUGGAGUCACCCUUAAUGCUAAGCUGGGAAAGAGGAAGGGAACAGAAAUAAGAGGAUGAGGACAAGGGAGGGAGAAAAGGGUGCUUCCAAAAAAUCAAUCCCAGGCAUGUGGGGCCUACUGCCCAGUGGAGAAUGAGAUGUCAAAGUUGCUGAUUUGGCGGCUACAUACAGAAUAUCACUCAUGAAACCAGCUUCUGGUCCUAUCGAACGGUUUCAUGAGUUGAUGGUUCAAUUUAGACCAGGCAAAAGUUGAGGGAUCAUAAUUAGGCUUUUCCAAACAUAAAUGAAUGUCAUGCUGUAAAAGUAGUGUUCGUCAUCCAGUAAACUGGUUCGAAUAUCCAACAAGCGCACAACUACUUUAUACACAUCUAAAGAAAGAACAGCUAUUUACAUACCACACAAAGGAGCUGCCUUUUACCAGGAGUUUCAGUUCCUUGGUUGCCAAAUUUUGCUUCUAAAACCGCAAUCAGCGCAAUAUUAUCCUUCAAAGCAAAUAGAACGUGUGAUAAAUAACAUCACUUUUUUUUGCGAAAAGUGAUAAAUAACAUCACUGUAGCAUACAUUAUUUCUUUUGAAGUUAAUCUUACUUUAAUCAGUCGACUUAAAGCCACUCUUUUCUGGGAAGCUGGAAUAAUAGCUUCUGUUAAAGACUGUGCAGCCUUAUUGAACUCAACCUACACAAGCAAGUACAAGUAUUAGAUAGCUGCAAAUAUCAAGCUGCUGCAAACCUGCAGUACAGGUACCUCGUAUUUUUUGACAUGUGAAAAUCUAUCUCUACGGAAGAAAGUAGCACAGCCAUCAAUGGCAUUAGGAACUCCAGCAUACACCUGUGACAACAGUAAAGUAAAAUCAAACAAGAGACAAAAGGUAUUAAACCAAAAUAUGAAGGAAAAAAUCAACCCAAAGAUACCUCUGUUGUCCGUUUCUUGUAAAGCGCCUGAUACCCAUGUUUAUCAAACUCAGGAGCAAAAAAAUCCUCAAAGUGGUUCAAUUGUACCUGAAAACAGUAGGACUUGGCUUAAUUCCCUCCUGUUACAAUCUUCGGUCACUCUUCGUUUUUAUUGUAAGCCGCUUCAGUAAACUCUUCAUAAUAUAUAUGCAGACAAUAUUCGUGAAAGUUUAAACAGCAAGCAAACUAUCAUAAAUUCAUAAUCCAACAUCACUGAAAAGUGAAAACAAUCAAACAAAGUGAUGGCACAAAUAUGGAAACGAACAGCCCAGCAGUAUAUGAAAGAUUGUAGGUUGAUGAACAGGGUUCCGGCAUUAAAGUUUACCGAGUCGCAAAAAUUAUAUGAUCAACCAAAUGAGACAUGCUCGGUUCCUAAAACAAAUAUAUGAGAUGAAAAGCUGAAAAUAGGUCACCAAAAUAAAUAAAUUCAGAAGAUAGCAAACAUAUGAUACCUCCUGAAGACAUAUAAUAUCAGCAUGAUAACCAAUAAUUUCGCGCAUCAAAUUUUGUCUUCUGUAAGUCCAUGAAAGUGCCCACGUUGGGCAGUAGCUAUAUGCAUCAGAUGUAGCAUAUGCAUCAGCAAGAAUAUUAUAGGACAGCACCGUGAAUGUCCCAAAAGAAGAAGUCUGGCUGUCUAUAUCUGAGUGACCCAAAACAUCUCCAUUCACUUGGAUAAGGCGGCGUGGAGUAGGAGUUGGUGCUGGAAUCACACGUGAUGUCAUAAUUGAAGUUGGAGACCCCGCAGGUACUUUCUUUUCCGUAUCCACCGCUGCACAUUCAAAUCUUAGAACAUGCCCAAUAUCAUCAGCAGUUGGUGUAUACGUCUGCGAGCGUCCCACUUCAAACCAUGUUUCACCCGAGUUCUUAUCAGUGCCUGAGGGAUACAAGGGAACAGGUCCAUUAUUAACUCCAGGGCUCUGUCCAAGAUUUGACAUUGAGCCAGACCCAGAACUUAGAAUCCCAGAACUACCGCUGCCAAAUCUACCAAAUAGCUCCUCCUCUUCAGCUCCAUUUUCAUUUAAAGCACUACUAGCUCGCUCAUGCAAAACCCUGUGGUGCUGCCAUGCAUCAGAGAAGCACUUAGCAGAACAAUGGUAGCUCUUAGCAGCAGGUAUUUUUGACUUGAGACAACCUAAGCACUGAAUUGUUGCUUGCUCCAUCGGAUGUACACUGCAGAUAGUAACUUUUCGAUCACUCUGUAUGCGAUACCUUCGAGCGAAAAGUCAAAUCAGUAUAACCAUGUGCUACUAGAUACAGAAAAAGUUUAGAAGAACAUGAUUGAAUAUAGUAACUACAAGAAAGGACACCUAAAUUGCCAAUGUUUUAGCAUGUAUGAGAUCCAGGAAAACUUGCUAUCAGCAUCUUGGAAGUCCAUUAUUCAGAGACAUUAGACUCACAACACUUCCAUUAUAAGCAUAGUAUGAAUAAGGCAAAAUGAAGCAGGUUGCCAAGAUGUCGCAAAAAAAAAGAAGCAAAUUACAAGUUUGCUUGUCAUGAGUUGCUGCUGCUGUUGUUUUUUCUUGAUUUUAGUCCCUCAACCGGCUAACUCGUGAUCAUUCAUCUCUUGCUUUCUUUACCAGAUCAACCAUGCAACUGAUUUCUUUAGCGGACCAGGCAAUAUAUGUAAUAAGCAAAAUUCUACAGUUUAGAUCAGAGAUUCAGAGGACUAUUGCAGGCUCUCAUAUAUCAUCAUUAGGGCAUGACGACCAGACAAGGAAGUUGCUGUGUAUAUUAUUAUUCCUAGAAGAAAAACAUUUAAGUACUGUUCAAGGAGGCGACCAACUAUAGCCCAGUGCCCACCCCAUCAAUCGAUUAGUGUCUUUCAGAACACUUCAUUUCAACAAUGUGUCUAUAAAUGGCCACACUUACUAUACUCAAACCUCAAACCUUAAAAGUGAAUAAAGAUGCACAUAUCACAUGAGAUUCUAUCAAGCUAAUGACUGAAAAGCAACACAAUGAAAAUAUAAAAAACUAUAGAAUUGAAGGACCAAAACCAAUGAAACUGCAUGAGUGUUAGUGGGACCAAGCACCACCAUUUCGAAAAGUUCUAAGGUCUAAAGUCUCAGCAAUAAAUGCUAUUUAAACCUACAUGACAUUAAAAAAACGGAUGUGAUAAAACAAAUAAAUAUUCACGAACAUGAUCAAUCAUUCAGAGCGGGAUUCUAAAAUUGAUCACUGAAAUUGUUCGGCCACCCAGCUAUUAGUGAUUAUACAGCCGAGCUAGCUCAUUGCAGUGGGUGGCAUAACCAGCGGUUACAAGUUCUUUUCUCUCAUAUUUGCCUCUCCAUUUUUCAUUUUUUUAUUUCCAAAUAGAUCUACAAUGUUAUUUGAAUUUUAAAAAUAAUAGGUAGGGCACUCCUUACAUACAUGACCUCCUAGGCCAUUUAAAACAAAUAUGCAUUGUUUGGGGUUUUUUAUAUAACAUAAAGUAAGUUAACUAUGACACACUGCCAAAAUAUUUUUGCAUAAAAAACAUUAAAUUUGAUAUAGCACAGAAAGAACGUGGAUAUCCAGCAAGAGAUUAAAGAAGGCAAAGUGGGGCAGGCAGUCAGCAAAACAAAACUAGUGGAUCACGAGUUUCAAACUUUUACUAGCUUUAAGCAACUGAAAUAACUUGCCACUGAACCUAGUGAGCCAACAACUCUAACGUGUAAUAGCAAACAAGUAAUAAUUCUUUUGAAGCUCCAGAAUAAUCAAAACUGAGUCUAGAAUCAAGCUAGAAUGCCCAUUUGAGUUCACUGGUGAUGUUAGAGUGAUACUUAGUUCAAGGAGUAUAUCCAGAUACCCCAAUCAAAAAAAUCAUCUGAAGCCAUGCGAACAAACUGAUGGCACUUCUAGAAUAGUGUCUUUCCACAAAAUUAGUUAGAUAAGCCUAUGUAAUCCCAAAAUUUAUAAAAUGCUCCCGUUCCAUCCAAGAUGAACGUAAACAUUCCUGCACAACGAUUGGCAACAAUCCUCAACCCAACAGCCUUCAUCACCAUCCUAUGAUGCUAUCUAACACUCAAUAGUUCUAGCAAAACCAAAAUCAGAUGGUCUGUUUUGCUCAAUGAAUUACUUAUUAUCAUUACCAACCCGUGUGGCAGGUUGAUAUGGCAUAGACUAAAUAGUAUGAUUCAUAAACAGGCUUAAAAUAAUGCAAUACUGAGUUCUUUACCAAAUCAAGCAUUGGCAUUUCAUGUUCCCUGGGUUUCCAUUCGUUCCAAAAACAAACAACUGUCUUGCUAGAGAAAAUCAUGCUCAGAAUUCAUAUAGUUGUGCUUCAUUUAUGCAAGAAUCAAGACGAUUCAUGAGUUUAGCAAGUAGUUAAGCAUCUAGCAAACUGAUUGAUACUUAAAGCCCCCAUUUUCUUUUUUUCUUUUUUGUCAAAAUUCACUUGUAGCAACGCACAAGCGGAACUAAGCAUUCGAAAGUGUAUAUCCUAUUGAACCAAAAGUUGCAAUCACGAGCUGCUCACUCACCAUCUGUAUCGCAUGAAGUGGCCAUCAACAGGCGCGGCCUCAGGCACGUCGUCGGUGGAGAUUACACCGUUGGGCAGCCGCAGCAGCACGUACGGGGUGAUUUCGCACCCCACGAUCGGGAUCUCCGACGGCAGGUGCACCCGCACCACGCUCAGCAUCCUCCACUCCUGCUCCCCUCCCCUGCUCUCCUCUGCCCAGCCCAGGGGCGGAUCUAGAUGGUGUGCCGGGUGGGCACCGGCACACCCAAAAUUUGUGGACGCUGCGAGGACGGCGGAAGGCCAGGGCGACGUCGGGAGAGGAGGGGAGCGCCGCCGUCAAGGGGACCGGGAGAGCGAGACAGGGUUAGGGUUGGUUGCCUGAGGGUAUUUUUGGGCAUUUCGAAAAUCUAGAGUUGUGUCCAGCGCAUUUUUUUUCUAAACUAGUAUUGCGUAAGCGGGACGGAGUGGUAAUGUUUGUGCAAGACAAGAGAGAGCCGGAGAGGAUGACAUGUUUUUUUUAACGAUAAUAUUAAAAACUAGUCAAAUGUCCAUGGGACAAACUCAUAUGCGAUACUCACCGCAUUUGUAGUUAUAGAUUAAUACCUUUUCAUAGCAGUUUGCAGAGAUGGAACCAUGAAAGGCGUUGCAGACGUAUAAUUCACUCGCUAAAAAAUCCAUAUUGAGAAAAUAAUUAUGUACUUGAUAGACUCGGUCUCACGAAGUUCUGGUAAGAAGCCGGUUCGGAGGGACAAAGUUCCAGAAAGAUGGCCGCAAUGUCACGCACGACCAGGCGAAUUUGUGAUAGUUUUUUUGUUAUGAAAAAGCAAAGUAUAUGUGAUCGGCAUGCGACCUUGUGGAUUGGGGUUGAAAGUGUUGGACUGCAGUGUAUACCUUCAACCCACCACGUCUUGAUUUAAAGGCCAAAUCAACGUAGGAUUCGGACUCCUUAACUAAAUACGAUUAGGAUUCCCUAUCUAUGUCGGAUUUGGUCUCCUAUUCUGUGAUUGGCAAUUGGGAAUUUAGACAUUAAUCCAUAGCUUCUCCAACUCUUUAGUGAUUGAACGUAACGGUUGGUACAAGCUAGGCUGGGCGCGAUGGGCUGAGGCUGAGGCAAACCAACCAUGGACCUCGUACCGUUUAGAUUGAAAAAAGGACAUGUUUUUUUUUGUUUAUCGAUCAGGACGGACAGGCGCACGCACGAGGGUGAGUUGGAGGUUCAGAUCGGUUGGGCUUAGUGGAAGUUUUAAUGAAAAAGGCCUACGGACGUUCGCCAUCACCACCGAUUGUAAUAUAAUAGACAUUGUAGAUUAGUUAUGAUUUGGACCACCGGGCACCGGAACCCAAGCUGCUCAAUUUUGGCAAAAUUUGCAGAAAGCAAACUCAAACCCGAUGGCUCCUAUGUAGAUGGGAGUGAACUCAGAGUAUUCUCAUCGUGUUGCUACAAAGCUUUUCUUUGAUGAUGUUCCCUCCGUUGUGUUUCCCUUGCGUGCUCAAGGACACAAUGUUGUGAUUGAGGAAAUUGUUGAUGACCCUAGCUCUGCCAUCUUCCGUCCGUAAGUGAGGGCACAAGCAGCGCGUUGCUACUCCAGAAGUAACUUCAGGUCUGUGCCAUAGUUCAUGCUCUACCAUGUUUAGAGGAUUCAAGUCCUAGCUUGUUUCUGAUGUGCAGAAGAAACAGUCCAAGUGUCGAUGUUAUACAUUGUCAGAAUAUGAUUCGGGAUAGCACACGACCAAGGAUUACUACUACUCUUGAUGGCAACAGUCUACGUGUUUAUCAUUUGUUGGAACUCCAAGCACAAAGUGAUGUAACAAAGGGUGUUUUCCCCCACAAGUGUUUUACCCCCAACAAGCACCACAAUGGUUGUCAAUCACAAUGAUCACUAUACAGAAUCACUUAUUUCUGACGCGUUAAAAAACUUCUAGUCUGACGCAAAUGGGACGUGUCACUAAUCAAGUGUCAAAGAUGACUCGGGAACUUCUGACGUGUCAACAAGCGUCAGAAGUAGGAAACCCUAAUGACGCUUCUUGUCGAUUGUUAUUAGAGACAAGUAUCCUCAUGUCGGGUGAAGGCCAUGUUUGUUUGAGCUUCUGCUUCAGCUUUUGGUGGUUCUAGCUCUCUAAAAAGCACUGCUUCCGUUUACACAUGAAGCUGAGAAGCACGUCGUGAGGUGCUUCCCUCCAGAAGCUGCAGGAAGCACCUCCAGACGUGCUUCUCAGCUUCAUGUGUAAACGGGAGAAAUGCUUUUUAGAGGGCUAGAAGCAGCAAAAGCUGAAGAAAAAGAAAAAGCCCAAACAAACAGGGCCGAAGAUGAGUAAGAAGAUAGAGGGGCCUCACGGUGAUAUCUACUCGUGUAAGAUAGAGAACUCGGCGAAAGACAAGGGUUUAUACCGGUUUGACUUGCUCCUUUUCGUGAAAGCAAGCCUACGUCAUGUUGGUAAUCUAAUAUUUGUGUAUGAUAUUACAAGGUGUGUUCUGCCCAUCGAGGGCGCCUAGCCCGCUUUAUAUAGUCAAACAACUAGGGUUUCGGGUAGAGCCGGGUACAACUUUUACAUGGACUGUACCUUCCUAAACUAGUUAGGAUUCUUCCUUUACAAGAUAUCUACAACUAGUAUUUCCUAUUACCUGAACUAGGCUUCCUUCUUCAAUACGACAACUUCCUUGACCGAGUGAUAGGGGAUGUCUGGCUUGUGCGCUGAGUCGACUUUCUCUGUUCAGUCGUCUCUCAGCUACCCGGCUAGAAUAUCCUCGUCAUUAGCCCCGAGUACAAUGUGGAUAGGGGGGAGCUGAAUAAUGCCAUCGUCGUCAAUCUCGAAUCUUUCUCGUUUCAUGUGCUUUUCUUGAGUUGCUUCUUCUUGAUUUUAUUCCGACCUCAAAUCCACAAUGUACUUCUCUAUGACAGCUUGAGGUUCGAGCUCAUGGCUUCUUAUGCAUAAAGUUCAGCUAUAAGAGCAAACCAGCUUCUAUGUGGCAUGUGUUAGCAUUGCAGCGAUAUUAGCUCCUGUUUUGAUUUGUGUUUUUUCCUUAGCUGUAGCGUUGCUUUGAAUUAAUUAGCAACUACGUCGUGCAUGUAAAAAAAAGUGAGUUCCAACAAAUCUCUGACGUGCGCUAGAACAAGAGGUCAGUGAGCAUCAAAAGUAUACUGACGUGGCGACACAAGGAAGAGCUAGGAAAUUCCUCGUGAACAAAGUUGACGCUUCCACAAAGGAAAGAGUCACAUCAGCUAGAAUCUCCUUCGACGCUUACGAAGUAAGGAAGCGUCAGUAGAAAUGAAGAGUCAGAAGUGUGGAAGUUCUCCUACGCUUCUCCGAGGUAGGUGUCAGAAAUAUCUUAUUGACGCUGCCUCGUGGAUGCUACCUAUGACAGUCCUUAUAAGGAGCCGCAGAGAUAAGGAUUUGCGCUGACGCUUUUUAGUUUUGUGUCAGUGGGGAGCUUGCAAGAGUAAAGUCUAUAGUAGUGAGUGUAAGGCUAAACUUUAAAUAAACAAAUAAUAACUUUAAGUAAACUAAUGCAAAACAAUAAUUUAAACUAACUAGAAGAUGCAAUAACUAUAUAAUAAAUACUACUACUUAUUAUGCAACUAAAUAACCAAGAGAGAAUGUUUAAAUGGCUUUUUACAAGAUAUCUAAAAAAAAGCAAUUAAAUAAAUGCAAAAUAAUUGUAACAGAGGUGUUUCUUAUGAUAUUAAAGAGGACCAGGAUACUCUUUGCGGCAUGAAUAUAGCACAUAGGACAAGUUCAUUUACUUUGCAAUGUUUUUAUGAAGUGAAUGAUAAGCAUUCAUAUGGACAUCACGUCCUAAUAUUGAGAAUAUGCAAAAUAUCUCACUAAUGCUCCCUUGGUAAGUGACUCAUCAAACUAGAUUAUUGCUUUAGGUACUUUGACAUGAUGUUGAACUUUAAUGCAACUUUGAGCAAGCAAGACCACCAUUGUUGUCAUUUGGUAGCAUAAUGCGUAUUCAUUUAUCCCUAGCGGGUCAAAUCACUGAAAGGUGAAAAUCAUAGUGGUUCCCAAAAUUUUUGUCACUAUCCGGUUGCCACUACCAAUUGCUCUAUCUAAUACACACAUCCCCACACAUGCACAUGUAAACUAGUAUGAUUAGUACAAGUAAGCAAGAAGGGAUAGACAUAUGCAUCUAUCAAUACAUCAAAACACAAUCCAAACAUUGCAAACUCAUGACUCAUCUCAUAACAAAAGGUUCACCAAUAAAAAAUAUAACGAUGAUCAUAAUCAUGAUAGGAAACUCGUAUGAUUCUAUUACAACCCAUAGCCCAGCGAGGACUACUCCCUCAUCAUAUUGGUGAUGAUAGAGAAUAUGUUCAAGGAGAAGGAGAGGCGACCGAUGGUAUUUUCCCUUCUAAUCUUGGAUCAAUCUGAUGUUGUUUUUUUUCUUUCCGAGUCGUUGUGCUAUGCAAGCGCAAAGCACGGGGUAUUAAUAAAUGGUUUUAGGUCAAGACGAAUCUUCGGGUGAAAGAAUGCACUUGCGGGCGGCCACUCGGGAUAAAAAACAACCAUGGUGAAUUAUGAUAAUCUAGUUUUUUCGACUACUACCUCUGAUCCUAAAUUGUUGUCGUGGUUUUACUUCAAAUUUGUACUAAAACCACGACAAGAAUUAAGGAUCCGAGAGGUAGUUUUUACCUAUUUUUCAAUUCGGCUUACCUAUUAUUUUCUAAUUUUCUUUGUAUGUUUUGACAAAUUCAGCACACUUCAGCAACCCAAACUGAACAUUAGUCCCGUACAGGAUUCCAGAGUGCGUUGUACGCAUGUGUUAGUAUAUUCCUAAGCAAGCAAGAAAAAAAUAAAAAGAAGCAAAUAGUAGCAACUAUCGGUUGAUCCCGGCCCUGGGCCAGGACAAGAAGGGCGACAGCCCGGGCCCGCCCAAUCCAGGGGACCAGAUCAUAUGUGUAUACGCUAGUAGAGAUACAUGUCCAAAUAUUGAUUAGCAUAAAAGAAAGAGGAAAAAAGCUAGAGGCCCAGCAGAUUGCUCCGCUCCUGGCCAACCCAGGACGUAUCAACGUGCUCGAAAAUUCCCCUUGGCACCCGGUAUCCAGGCCUAUGUGUAUCUCAGCCGACCAAUUUUCCAUCCUACGGCUCCAUCCUGCAGCUCCUGUCGUCCGGCCCGUUUAAGUAUACAAUUUGCUAUUCUCCCGUACAGGCGGUAUUUGCACCGGUUGGCCUGACACAUCCUUUUUUAUAUUGCGUUUCCCAGGCUGGCUGGCCCAAGUCCCACCUCGCGCAUUGCUGGGUGAGCACAAGUCCUUUUCUCCCGCUGCAUACCGUGGCACAGGUCUGCCCUUGAGACAUCGCAUUAAAUUUCCAUCAGUCCCAUUUUUUUGGCCCAAGAUUUCUGGGCAGGCACAGGUCCACGCCAUUGGGGGGGCGGUGGCGCGGCUGGCGAGGCCGACGUCGCGGCUGUCGAGGGUGCCUGCCACGGGCGAUGAGUCACCGAGUCAGGCUUCGGUGCCCAGAGCUGAAAAGCGUGCCGCGGUAGACGAUGUUGGGCGCCUUAAUGCCGUGCUCGGACACGAUUCGGUCGGGGACGAAGCUGUCAGUUCCCGCGCAUAGCUCAUCAAGGCUGUACUCUGUGAUCAUCGGCACAGCACUGUCGUCUUCCCCAGUUUCCCCAUUCUCUAUUUCUCUACACAGGGAAAGCAAACAGCAAGGGGAAGAGCAUCCAUCCUGUAAAGCAACGAGCUGCCGGCGAUGGCCUUCUCCACGACCGCGGAGCAACGCAGCGCCGUCCCCGUGCCUUCGCUGGAUGCCCGCUCGCAGCUCCGUGAUGGACCGCUUCCGCACGAGCACCGCCCGCCCGAACGGGUCGUGCGCGUCGGCAAGCGCGAGGGCCGAGGGACACGUUGAGGUGGCCAAAGGCCGGGUCGCUAGGGAAGAACUCCGAGCUGCAGACCGGGGGCGCGGGGCAGGGACGGAUGUUCGGGCAUCGGCCGGACCUCCUCCGUUGGCAGCUUCCGCAGGCGAGGAAAACUUGAGGGGCAACGGCAGAUAUUUGGGAUUUGACGUGGGUAUUGGUGCUCCGAUCUUUCCAUCAGAUUGAUAACUCUCGAUUUGGGUUGAAGAUGACGUUUGACGAUCCGACUACGGUCUAAAAGACAGCGCCUUAGUAAUCAAUACACCAACUACAGAGAGUUAUUGAUCACGCGGGGCACGAUCAACCUGACCACGAAGGUUUUUAUUCCUGCAAGCAAUCGAAAAACAAGCAAGACCAAGAUAAAUAGUGGAUGCAAUCUGAAAUUGCGAAUAUACUAUAUCAAACCAAUGUCUCAAUGAGACGAUAAGUUGGGAUUUCGAAAGUGGUAAAGCAGGUGGUCUAGCCGACAUAGACGAUUACACGAAGUUGUAGCGAUGGCUAACUUUUAACUAAACAAAACCCAAGUCUCCAUAGGGAGGCUAGUGGGGUAUAUAAAAGAGGAGGGAGAGAGAUUUUCGCCCACCUUGAGUAAGGAGGCCGAAAUCCAAAUCUAUUUCUAACUUUUCUAACAAACUAUAACUCUUUAGGAAACAAAAAAACAGAUCCGUCAUCUUGUUUUGUCUGCCACGGCCAGCACGCGUCGAAUCUCCUUGUGGGGUCAAAUCUGUUGGAAAGGUCUUGUAAUUACCUUUCCAACAAGUACUUGUUUGCUUGAUUUGGACUCUGAAUGCGGUCUGGGUGAUUAAAACAAAUUCGGAUCUCCUGACAGCUCGGACCCGAAUCGGAUUCAACUUUAAUUCGUGAUAUCUUUCACUAGCAAGCUCCGAACCAUGUGCCGUUCGAUUUGUUGGAAAGUAGACUUGAUAGGCUUCACCUUGCAUCUCCCGUUGCAUGCUAUCGCACCUCAUCUUCACUUUGGAUUUGAAAAGCUCGACCAAAUAUCUACAUAAUAAAAUGAUACAAGAUAGUAGCUCUGCCUCUUCAUGCAUAUGGCAUUGAAAACAAAUAGUACUUGACUUCACCUGAUUAUAAAAUGUUAUCGAAUACUCUAGAACUGAGGGUGCCAAAGGUUGUAUCUAUGGUUAGCAUGUCCAUAUCAUCUUCCCUUUCUUGAAACAAAAGCCGUCCUCGGUGUCGUUUGUGCUGAAAAGAGACUGACAAAACAGACAAAGUGUGUGCAUGGGUAUAUGUACAUGUCAUCCAUCUUUAUACAUCUCCUUUCUUGCACAAUUAAUGUUUUAUAAAAAAAUCUCAUGAGAUAAGUAGUCAAACAAUCAUCAUGAAUUACAUUCCAGCAAGAAGAUUGACAAUAUGUUUUGCAUAUAUAAGUGAAACAAUAUCUUAUACUAGUAAAAAGCCCGUGCUUUGCUACGGAAGAAGACUUUCUUUUAAAAACAUGCUAUAGGUUAAUUUUCAAAUAGUCGGCUGACUUGGGCUUGCGGGGCUGCGGCUUGGGCUGAAAGGUGGAGAUGGGGUUGGUGGGCCUGAAGGGGGCUCGGGGUUGCUGGGUUGCUGUGGGAUCGAGGCAGCGGGGAGGUUGAAGGCACGGGAGCAAGGGGAGGCAGUGCCGGCGAGGUGGACGAUGGGAGCAGCACGCGAGGGUGCUGGGCUGCCACGGUGACUGGAGCUUGGCGACAACGUUGGCGGAUUGCAGCAGCGAGGGAGAGGAGAAGAGGGCGCAACGAGUAAUGAAGGCAGGAGCGCCAGAGAGAGGAGGCGGCUAGACAGAGGAGAUCGGGAGGGAGAAAGGAGCUCGAGGGGAAAGAUGAAGGAGCAUAGGGGAUAUCGGGGAGGACCGGCUGCCUGGUUGGGUGGACGGGCAGGACAAGAAAAGGGGACGAGAGCGAGAGGGAUAGGGUUCGAGGAAGCCCGCAGAGGUUAGGGCUCGGGGGUCAGACGGAUGUUUUUCGGGACUGGGGAUAUGCAGUGGCAUAUUGAGCGUAAUUUUAAUGGAGUGACGUACCGCGACACCUGUACCAUCACCACCAACUCCAAUUUAAUAUAUUUGUAUAGAUUUAGUUUGCACCGCUCACCAUUAUACCAUCCCAACACUGGAGAAUAAUAAUUAAUGGUACCCAAAUUAGUUACUACAAGAUGCUGAAAUUUAGAGCAAGUCAAAGCAGUAAUAUUCAAACAAUCGUGUAAACAACUAUUUGGCAAAUAAUCAACACCAAUAUUGGAGAUCAUAUCAAAAUAGUUAAGCAUAUGCAAGAAUUUAUUUUCUCCCAAGAUAGUAAAAUUAUCACAAGUAAUACAAAUUUCAUGUACCAAAAAGUUAUUAUUCACAUCAUGUUCUCCAAUUAGUUGAAUAGUGGAUCCAUGAACAUUAGGAAAAGAUUUUGAAAUUGUUAACUUGGACACUUUUUCCAUUGCAUAUGAUAAAUACAUAUGUGUAUCAAGUGUAAUAUAACACAAAGAAUUAAUAGGUGGAUCCUUAUGAAUCACUCCAUGUCUAAUUAACUCGACACAACCUAAGCCAAAUUUAUCUAUCUCACAUGUUUCUCCCAAAGCAUUAGUUCUGUCCUGACAUGAUUCAUGCUCAUCAAUAUCAAAAUUAAUAUGUGCACUAAAAUCAUUAGAAAAAUUAAUUUCAGCACUAGGUGUACUCAAAUCAGCAUGUAAAUCAACAAUUUCACAUGGUGCAGAAAAUUCACCGAGUAUCUCAUUUAUUUCAUCACAUGUCAUAUUUAGUUCAGGAACACAAUCAUCUUUACCAUUACCUUGUGGUCUCGACUCAUUUGUAGUAGACCUUCACUGUAAUUUCCUCUCAACUUCACGAGCAAGAUUAAGCAAACACAAAAAAGAGUCGUAUUUUCCAUAUUCAAUUAUGUAAGAAAUAUCAAAGUUAAGCCCACAAUAAAACCUAUCCAUUUUUGUUUGUUCGGUUUCAUCUAAACCAGAUCGCAAGGUUAGAAUUUGGAACUCCUGAUAGUAAUCAUCAACAGUUUUAUCAUCUUGUUUCAAACGUCGUACUUUUGCACGCAAGUUACAAGCAUAACUAAAAGGGACAUAUUUUUCUCUCAUGAUUUUCUUCAUAUCAACCCAAGUGUGAGGAAUUUUCUUUUCUCUAACUAUCUCACUCCACCAAGAUAAAGCAGCAAAAGUAAAUUUACUACUAGCAAUUUGGAACUUGCGACUAUCAAGUACAUGGAAGCAUGUGAAUUGUUCAGUUAAAGCUAUCUCCCAAUCUAUAUACGUUUCAGCAUCAUUUUCCCCCUUAAAGAAAGGUACACACAAUUUAAUUGUAUUGGAAGGAUUGUUUCGUACCGUUGCCGUCGCAUUGUCAACAAAAGACGUGGAGGAUGGCCAUGGUGAAAAGCACUCAUCGCGGUCACGGGAUUGCAUCGGUCUAGUUCCCAUGCUUCGUGUAAGUCCUGUCAUUGUUAGUAGAAAACAAGAAACAAAUCACAGUAAUAUGUUCCUAUCAACUAAUAGGAUGUGGCUACAAGUCGUUCAACUCUCAAGCUAAAAAUCAAGUUCUUACAAGUUCUUACCAUGCAACAAGAAGGUGAUGGCCAGCGGCUUGACCAAGCCCCUCCGAGGAUUAAAUGUAUCAAUGCCUCGGUAACAAACCAACCUAGGUGUAGAAUCUGUGUAGCUUGGAAGCUUUUGUGAGUAGCAAGGAAUAGCAAAUAAUCAAACAGCAAUGCAAAGUUGAAAAUAUGCUAAAUAAUGCUAGUCCUAACUGCUGGAGUCGAUAAUAACGAAUUACAGAAAUAAUCUAAGCCUAGAUAGUGAAGAAGGUAGGAUAGAAAGAUCAAAAUAAAGGUAAAACAACUAAAUCUCUAGGAUUUUUCUUUUCUUUUAUUUAUUUAUUUAUUUAUUUUUGUGGCCUUCUGUUUGGCUUCUUAUUCUUUUCUUCUUUUUUUAUUUUUUUAAUCCCAGAAACUCAUGCAAAAGAAGUAAAGACCGGAAAACUGCACGUCGGUCUGUCGAAGAACAGCAAAGGGUGCUGUAAGAAAAUGUCAGAAAAAUAUGGAAAAAUAUAGGUUAGGAGCGUAUCGAAACAAGCUUUCCAGGAAGUGCAAGAUCACUCAAAUCGGAGGCCGGACGAUGGAGAUAACGUAAAAACACCGGCCUGCAGCGAUGCCGGAAACCGGAUGCAGAAACUUGGAAGCUCUGAAAGUCCACCUUACAAACCGAGUUUGAGGGUCAAGGAGUCAGUGCGAUGCCCUGGAUAUUUUCUCGUGCGCUUCGUCAUGAGCUUUCCAGAAAGUACUAGAAGGUCCAAAUCUGAGUUGGUGACCGUUUUACUGAACACGGGUCAAACCCACUCGAAACUAUAAUUCUCCUGAACGUGGAUCUGAAACUGAUUCUUUUUCUCUCUCUUUUUUUUCAUUUUUUUUCCUUUUUUUUCCUUCCUUUUCUUUGCUUUUUUUUCACAACUUUCCGAACAACUUGAUCUCUAAACAAAAUUCGAUCUAUUAUGAAACACUUUCCAAAAGCACUCUCGAUUGGACUCGGACUCGAACCCGGAGAAGGACUCGGUGUAUGACUCGAUGGAAGAUUAUGGCGUGGCGGUGGUGUGGCAGGGAGUUUGGCGGCAGAAAAUUGAGGAAGGAAACCUGCGUCACACGAAGAACAAGAAAACCAAAAGCAAGUUCGAUCUAGUAGAAAAAGUCUGAAAAACGAUCCAAUCUAAUCCAGCAACUCGACACGAUUAAUGCAGCAAAGGUUCAACAAUGCAAAUACUAAUGUGAAAAUUGCAAGGCUCAGAUUGGUUUUUGGGACGAAGGUAAGUAAUCUCUACUUUUUUAUUGUCUUUUUCUGGACUAUAGGUAAAACAUAUCUAAACUAUGGAAAAAUACCACGUGAUGUGGGUCGGGGUGGCCCGAUAUUUCGAUGAGAUUGAUAACUCUCGAUUUGGGUAGGAGGUGACGUUGACGAUCCGACUACGGCCUUGAAAGCAGCGUCUUAGCAAUCGAUACACCAACUCCAGAGGGUUAUUGAUCACGCGGGGGCACGAUCAACCUGACCACAAAGGUCUUUGUUCCUACAAGCAAACGAAGAACAAGCAAGAACAAGAUAAAUAUCGGAUGCAAUCUGAAAUUGCGAAUAUACUAUAUCAAACCAAUGUCUCAACGAGACGAUAAGUUGGGGUUCCGAAAGCGGUAAAGCAGGUGGUCUAGCCGACACACGCGAUUACACGAAGUUGUAGCGAUGGCUAACUUUUAACUAAACAAACCCAAGUCUUCAUAGGGGGGCUAGUGGGGUAUAUAAAGGAGGAGGGAGAGAGAUUUUCGUCCACCUUGAGUAAGGAGGCCGAAAUCCAACUGUAUCUCUAACUUUCCUAACAAACUACAACUCUUUAGGAAACGGAAAAACAGAUCCGUCAGCUUGUUUUGUCCGCCACGGCCAGCACGCGUCGAAUCUCUUGUGGGGCCAGAUCUUUUGGAAAGUUCUUGUAAUUACCUUUCCAACAAGUACUUGUUUGCUUGAUUUGAACUCCGAAUGCGGCCUGGGUUAUUAAAACAAAUUCGGGUCUCCUGACAGCUCGGACCCGAAUCGGAUUCAACUUUAAUUCGUGAUAUCUUUCUCUAGCAAGGUCCGAAUCAUGUGCUGUUCGAUUUGUUGGAAAGUAGACUUGAUAGGCUUCACCUUGCAUCUCCCGUUGCAUGCUAUCGCACCUCAUCUUCACUUUGGACUGGAAAAGCUCGAUCAAAUACUUACAUAAUAAAAUGAUACAAGAUAGUAGCUUUGCCUCUUCAUGCAUAUGACAUUGGAAACAAAUAGUACUUGACUUCACCUGAUUAUAAAUAUUAUCGAAUACUCUAGAAUUGAGGGUGCCAAAGGUCGUAUCCAUGGUUAGCAUGUACAUACCAGGCUUGCAGUACGAUGCCCGGAGCUGGGGGAGAUGGCGCUGCACAUGUCGUAUCUGAAGGAGGCGGCGAUUGAGGUGAAGAAGACGGUGGGGGAUGAGACGGUGACAGAUGGGGAAGAGAGGUAGAUGAGGGCGAUGAAGGGAAUAUGCCCUAGAGGCAAUAAUAUUGUAUUAUUAUAUUCCCAAGUUUGUAAUUGAUGUUUAUAUUUCUAUGCUAUAAUUGCAAUGGUUCUUGAACGUGAGAUUCGGAGGAAAACUCAUUUGCAUGUGUGGAAACAUAAACCCUAAUUUAAAGGUCCCUAGUCACGCCUCUUUGACUAGCUUAUAUAUAAUUGAUGAUUCUGUUUUCCUGAUCAUGAGCAUACGAUGCUGGUUAUAUAUGAGAGCACAUUGUUGGUUGAACAAUGGUGUUGGAUUGACCCAACUAAUGAUAUACCGAGAGAUCACAUCGAUUACUUGUUAUCGGUAUUAUUGUUAUUGUUGUAAUUAUCAUUAUCCUUAGACCAUGAAAAUAUCGUAUGAUAUUUAUAUCGGAAGGAUAAUUUGGGUGUUACUUAUUGUUUCCCGUAAUAGGGUUAUCAUGACGGUGAUUUCCGGGUACUCCGGAAAGUACGAAUUGAUUCGAUAGUUCAAGAUUGGGAUUUGCUCCUCUAUCGGUGGAGAGAUACACUAGGGCCCACUCGGUACGAAGAUAUCUAUCACCGUCUGGCCAGACACAAGAAUGAUAUGAUCAUUGAGAUAUCGGAGUACGGAAUGAGUUAAAAGUACAAAACCGGUAACGGGGAUAGCUAGGUACAAGUGGAACAAGGGUUGGUUCACGGGCGUACCGGAAGUCUCACCCCGGGUUUUGUAAACGUAUCGUGAAGCAAAGGGAAAUGGUUUUUAGUAACAAAUGGUUCACUUGAAAGUCUUCGUGUAUGUGUAGUAAUUAUUGAGAGUGUCCAGGCUCUUUAAAUAAUUAUUGACUGGGUCAUAGCUACACAUUUCCCAACCUAGGCGGUCAGACGCUUAACGACGAAUGGUUAUUUGAAGGUCUAAAGUUUGGAAUUUGGUCAAGAGUUGAAUACUGAAGUUGUUCAGAAUGACGAGACAUAUUUUAUGGAGGUCCUAAAUGUGAUUUAGGAGUUACAGAAAUAUUCGGAGUAAUCAUGAGUGCUUCCGGAAGGUUUUAGAAGCCUCUAGAAGGAUCCGAUGGAAAUUCCGGAAGGUCAAAUGGCAAAAGGUCAAAAGUCAAAGGUGGGUCAAACCCUGGUCAAAGGUUGACCAUGGGGGCCAGCCAUCUUGGUUUGGAGAAGGGGUUAUAAGACUCCUAUUAGGAGUUCAUAUCUAUUCCUAUUAGAGGUAGGCGUGCUACUCUUUUUGGAGGAGGACUCUUUUCGUCCUUUGGCCGGACGCCCUCCUAUAUAAGGAGGGGAGGGGUGGCCGGUUAUAGGGGCACUCUCGCUAGUUGUCCUUUGCCCGUCAAGUUCGAGCUCUCUCAUCUAAAGUUUAGACGUCUAAUUAGUAAAUCGUCUACUUUCCGAUCUAGUUUCUUCCAGCGGUUCUUCGUACUGGACGUGAAAGUGCUGCUGAACUAUUCCUCCGGGACGUGUGGAUACGUGUGGAGAGAUCGCCCACUUCGAUCUUGCAGGCGGAUCGCUGUUCGUCUACUUCAAGCUUUCAGGCGCAGCAGAUCGUGCGAGGAAUAUUCUCACGGCUGGGCGGUAUAACCUAACUGCGGGAAUCUGCUACAGGCUUCAACGACAAUCUAUUUCCGCUAUGGUUUUUUGGUAGAUGAUCAAUCUAUCGCAUCCGCAUAGUGAUCUUGAUUGGUUCGUUCGUAGGAAAAUUUUAAUUUUCUGCCUACGUUCCCUUUCAGGCGAAUGGAGGCGGUGGAGGGACCCGAGACGUGGGGUGGGCGGCCUGCUGUGCGUAUUUUAUUUAUUUUCUUUACUACUACUACUACUUAAGCCACAGUUAUGUCCGUGGUUUACCGUAAGUCCUCCCACCCCCCACAGAAAAAAAAGUCCUGAAAAAAUCCGGUCCCCCCACCCCUUCUGAGGAAACAUUCGCCCAGAAGGAAAUAUUCAAUCAACCAUCAAUUGAUUGAGUUCAAAAGAUGACCCAACGCAUUAGGCAACUCUUGGAGAGAUUUCAGGAGAGUAUGGAAAGAUUGUUAGGAGUUGGCCGAGUUGUGGGAGUGAUUUCAGGAAAGGACAUCUUGGUUAGUUGCACGUAUAGCGUGAGUUUAGGGGCUAACGGUCUGAGAUUGGCUGUUAUUUAUGGCAUGCUUUGUAAUCUUGUUUUUGGAAACAGAAAGAGGAAUAGGAAAGGAGAAAAUCUCGGGCUGUGAGAGGCAGCCUCGAGGCCCAAACCUUGCCUUCCUUAUGUUCGUGGUGUUGCCAAGAAAAGAGAUAUCGUGAGAGAGGGAGCUGCAGCGACAGAGAAGAAGAACUGGAGUUGCAGAUUCCUGCCGCGGCAGGAAAUAUUCUGCCGCGGAAGAAAAUCUGCAGGCUGGAGCUGCGUGAGGUAGACGGGGAAGAAGAAGGGGAGCAGCAGCGGCUAGCUGCUCCAACAUAGCCUUAUCAGUUGCCGGGUAUUAACUGGACAAUUCCUAAUCAUGCUUCAUGAAACGGUGCUAAAACAUUGUCCUGUGUCGCAAGUCCCAACAAUCCUAAUGGAUUUCAUUCUGCCGAGUCAUUAAAGGUCUGUGCUUGUUACUCCUAAUUCUGAUCAUAGUUAUUGUAACGUGCUUCUAUCUAGAAGCCGAUGUACACCUAUCAUGUUUGUCAGUUAUAACUUUGUAUGCUUUAAGAAGAUCUAUUUUGUACUUUGGGCUAGGUAUUUUCUACUUCGUAUGCUUCAAGGAAGGUAACUGACUGAGAUGAGAUGCAUAGUUGUUGCCAGAGAGAAGGGACGUUAGCACGUGGCAAACGUGGUUAGCAAUAAAAAUGCAAUCAGAGAGAAGGGAAGUUGGAGAAUGAAACAAAUAUUUAUUGUGAUAGGUUAAAAGUUAUACACAAUUAGUGUACAUAUUUAUUUUUAUUUAUUUAUUAUUUUUCGUUGCAACGCACGGGUACUUUGGCUAGUAUAUUUAUUUGGAGAACAUCCGUAUUUUAUUUGGUGGGCGAUGGAACAAGACAGACAUGUACCAUGCCUUCUUGGUUUUGAGUUGGUCCAGAAACAUCUCACAAAUGGUCCAACAACCCAACACAAAUGACCUAGUAUUACUCACUGUUCUAUACCAAUAGUGGGCCAAAAAGCGGAAAUUCCAUUUGGGUCCUGGGACCCCCUCCCUAUCUCCAUCAUUCCGCCGAUGUUUGAUGUUUGCUUUUAGACCCUGUUUGUUUGGGCCCUGAUGGUCGCCCUUUGCGUAUUUGUGAAAUCAUAGGUGAUGUGUAACAUUGGUAAGUAUUUUAGAUGAAACAUUGAUGUGGAUACUUUGGCUAAUAUGGAUUGACGAAGAUGUAACUUCGACAAUGUCCAUAUUGAUGGACUUGUAUCAAGGAAAGAGGAGUGUGUGUUGGCGAACUCGUCGGCUAACAAGGACACAGGGGACACGAUUUACCCAGGUUCAGAGCCCUCGAUGAGGUAAUACCCCUACGUCCUGCUUGUCGGAUCUGUAUUGAUGAGUCGAUUACAAUAGGGUGCCGCAGAGUCUAGACGCACCGAGUCGUCGAGUGCGUCCAGGCGACUUGUAUCUAAGCUCGGGGGGUGUCCUCUUGGCUCCCCCUCCUGGUCCUUUAUAUAUGCAGGAACUCACAUCCGAGGUAGAGUCCAAGUAGGUUACAAUGAAAAGACAUACUCUAAUUAUUCUUCCUUAUCUUGAGUCGCAAGAUUUGGCAUGUAAACUCCUGGAGUCGAAGUAGGCUUCCUUGUGGGCCCCUAGCUGGGCUGUAUCGGGUAUACUCGAGUCGAGUACGUGGUUAGUCAUAACCACGUCAUGGAUACUUAUGUGAUGACAUGUAUCUUGUUUGGACUUAGUGGUUUGCUAUUGGUGUGUUGAUCCAUUAGUUUCUUAUGUAAAAACAUGGCGUGAGUUGUGUUGAAACUUACCUUGAGUGAAGUCGUGGACUUGUGCUCGUACUGGUUAUUUGUGUGUUCACUUUCAGGUGUUGCCGGAGCUAGAAGAACAUGGUCGGUGAUGGGAUCGAGGGACGAAGCUUGGGAGAAGCUGAGGUCAAGGGAUCAAAGUCAUGCGAGACGUUCAUGUGAAGGAACAAUGGAAGUGAAAUAUACGAUGAUUCGGGAGGGCACCGGUUUGUCGUAUGUUGUUUAUACCGGAGAUGUAUGGUAUUGUAGAUAUUUGACACGUGAUGGUCGAGUUUUGAAGACAUCACAAGAAGAGUCAAGGAGUCCAAACAAGACCAGAUGUUCCCUAUUGUUAUCGGGAACGAGACUAAAUGUUCGGCCUUAAUGAGAUGGACCUUGAUUCCUCUCCGGCCAGGAAAAGAUGCGGCUCCUCUUUGUUUUGUUCUACUACCUUCAUCCUCGGGUGAAGCCGGUUGGCUCACCAAACAAGAGGCCUACUGUUAAAUCAUUGGUAACCAUGCCUAACGGUCGGUCCUCUAAGCUAUCGGCCAAGGCAAGUGAGAGCUGUUCAAGAGUUGGGGGCAUAUCUUUAGCUCGAGUAGCAUUCGCUCCCAAAAUGUGUGGCAUCGACGUGAAGACAUGUAGGUCCAGCCGUGGCUGGAUGAGAGCUGUUUAAAGACUAAACAAUAGUGUCAUGAAUAUGGCGUCCGAUGGAAAAGUGGUCCAUAUGGAAGUUGUGCGCGUCGUGACGCUGUGUGAAUGCUUUCUUUUGGCCUACGGGCUCCUACCUCCACAUCGCGUGCUUCGUGACGCUGUGUGAAUGCUUUCUUGGAAUAAAUCCCCAUAUGGGUCUUUGGAAGAGAAUGUUCACCAUCAAGCGCCAAGGCAAGGAUGCGAUUGGAUGGGUGAAUAUUCAAACUCAUGCGGAUGCCAAAUUCUUCAACCUCCGAGAGAGGGCAUCAUCUUCUCGAUGGAAAUCGAGGUGGUUCUUUGUCAUGGAUGUGCCGGCCGAAGGACGCGACUUCAGUCUUCCCGAAUUCUCCGUGACCACGUCGGUGAAGAAGACGAUGGCCUGGAGUCAUAAAUUGGGAGGAACAGAGGGUGAAGAAGCCGAGACUCUAUUGGCCCGAGUUCUGUCUCUCAUGGAGACUCCUCAGUUGAAGGUGACUAGAAUUCACCUCAUUGCCGCUUUUAUCCGGAGAAGAAUUCAGCCUCUGCAGGCUCGUGCUCAUCCCAUGUGGGCAUAUCGGGGGGGUUCAUGACUCGACCCGAUUUAGUACCGAGGAAUUUCGUUCGACUGAAGUGUGUCGACGAGUUCGGCGACUUACUAACUUGGACGAGUCGGAGCCCUGCGAGAUUGACCCUCCAGUGGCUCCCUAUGGGCCUGACAGGUCCCUAGAAAAGAUGACCACCGAAGCGUCUGACAAGCCCUGCUGUUUUUUGGCAUGAAUUAUUUCUGAUCAUGGUUUUGAUUUUAGGGACCCGAUAAUGAUCUAAGCGGCGCUUCCCCACCGGCAAAGAAGCGCGGCAGAGGAAAAUGACUUGUCGGUACAGACCCAAAUGAUAAGCUUGAGGGACCCGAACGUCGGGCCGUCAGUGUCUGUACCUGCGCUCAAGAGAACCAAGUCCGACGGGCCAAUCGCGACUCUCGCUUUGGUCUUUUUGCAUGACUCAACCGUGCCAGGUGAAUCUUUUAGCCAUCUUACUUCAGUAUCCUAGAGAUUUUGACUGAACCUCUAAAAACUUCUUGAUUAGCCAUACUAGUGGCUCAGUUGAGAGCAAAAAGGCUCCCUGGACUCAAUCGACUGGUCAGGACUUGAAAGGGUCGGACCAGCCGACUAAACAAAAGACAGCCCAUACCAAGGAGGCUUCGGCGGCUAAUCCGAGCAGAGGAAGUCGACCAGAUGAGUCGAGCGUUCCUCAGGCGACGGUUCCUGCGUCGAGUCGACACGUGAGCAAAUUUGUCAUUUGCUAUUACCUGCCUCCCGGUGGGAGUGACACUCAAGAAAUGACUUGAGAUUGCUUUUUUGUUUGUAGCCAAUCAUCCGCUCCAUGGCAACUCUUAUUGAAGAGUUUGAGGAGACGAAAGCAGAUCGGGAGCGACUUCGAGAAGAGCUGAGUCAAUGAAGCGAUCCUCCCCCUUACAAGGGUUCGAUCUCUGUGCUUACCGUGCUAGUCCCUGGAUCGACUCACUAGCACACACAGUUUCAUGAUGAAAUAUACAGAAACAAAGGUCAAAAGUACUUUAUUACAUCGCAUCAUUCAGAAUUUAAAUAGUACUUACAACCUCGCAUGACCUCUUGGCCAGCAUAAAACAAAUACUGUUUCAUCAUCAUAAAACAAUGUUUCAAAACUGCAGCGGAAAAGGGUAGAACAAAAGGGCCUCAACUACUCCAAGGUGAGAGCAUGUUGGAAUGUAAGCACAUGACCCAUGACAAAACGACGAACCUCACUCAUCGUCGGAUCCACCUGCAUUGUAAUUGCAGCCACUACGUGGUCAAUACAUUUGAAUGUAUUGGCAAGUUCACCAGAGUUAUAAAGGACCUACCAAGUAUAUGCAUAAUUUGGCUAGGUGGAGUUUGGCUGUUUGCAUAAAAGCAUCAUAGUUCAAUCCUAUCAUUUUUAAACAAUUAGUUUUGAAUUCUAUUGGACACGGGAUAGAAACACCCAUGCUCCUAUUAACCUAGGCACAUUGAGUAGAAACAUCAAUGCUCCUACCCAGUUCAAACCAUUCUUUUUAUUAGGAAAUUGGAAUGAGUGAGACCUUUCUUACAGCCCCAAUAUCUAGUUGCUCAUAAUUGUCCGUAACCGGGGACACGGCUAAGUACUUAGUUUGACACUCUCGAGAGGUUGUACACAUUCCCCACAAGAAAUCGACGUGUUAAUCCCUUGCUGUCCUCAGGGUAGAGUAGCAACGGCAUCGACUACAGGAUUUUUCAGAACAUAAUCUCCCAGACCACCUGAUGGACGCGCCCCCACCUACACUGCUACAUACCGAUGUCACCUCGGAUCCGGGUUCAUAUUUCUUACAUCCAUCCUGGCAGAGCCCAUAAUACCAUGUGGUUGUACUGGAAUCUACUAAACAAGAAACUAGUCCAGUCUCUGGUUACCCCGGGUGGCAUUCCUCAGUUGCAACGCAGGCGCUCCCAUAGAAAUGGUGAGACGACUCAUAGAAAUGGACCCAUAGAAAUGGACCUGACGUCGCAUACAUCUCCACUUCCUCAAAGCAGCCCACCCAGGACGGUUUAUUGAAUUACUUGUUUUGCCGUACACUAGGAAAACCAUAUUGUAAUUCAAUAGUAUCACAUUGUAAUAAUACCACCCUCGUAUAUUAUCAUAUCCUAGCAUUUUACUACCACGAUGGCAAUUGGUGGUGGGAACAUGGCAAAGGUAUUCUACACUAUUAGGAGAAUCAUAGCAUAGCAUAGAUACAAUAAUAAUCCUAACAAUGCAACUAAUAAAAUCUAGUGCAUAAUAAAGUAAUACGUGAAUGAUCAAAGUGAACUUGCCUUGAUAGUAGUUGGUAUUCAAACACUCUUCGCAAUCACACAGUUCGUUCUCCAAGAAAACUAAUCAAAUACAAACAUUGCAUACAUAAGCACACAAUACAAUCAAGAGUAAAAAAGUAUGCCAUGAUGCAAUGUAAAACAUGUGACAUGAGCUUGGUUUAUUUUAUUUGAGUGAUCUACUGAUCCUAAGCAUAAGUAAUUAAAACAAAUGCAUUAGCGUUUUAAAUAGAAAGGCAAAGGCUAGGGUUUAAACCCUGAAAUAAGGUUUUAUUUGCGUCUGCAAAGAAAUUUAAUUCAAAAUAUUUAUUUCUCUGUCUUUAUGGACAGAGGAUAAUAAAAUAAAAUUUUGGGCACUGGUUUCAUUCAAAAAGGACUUCUAAAUAAUUAGUUAUGAUUUAAAUAGUAUUAUACCUUAUUCUGUAAUUUGAAUGUGAUUCAAAUUUUCAAAUUUAAAAAUGGACAGUGCCAAAAGAUUCUACACUUCCUAAGGAUUUCAAAAAGGUGUGGAUCAUCAAAUUUGGCCAAACAGAUUAAAAGAUAUGAUCAUUUGAAGUUAGAGGGGCUUUUCUGCAAAAGUGCCAUUUCUAAUUAUUCCGGGAAUUAAAAUUAGAUUUUCGUUUUAUAAAAUAGGUGCCACAUGUCACGUUCUCAUUGGUGCGUACCGGUUCGGUUAAAAAUAAACACGGGAUCUAAUCCUAGCCCUCGGAUCUGGAUCGGACGGACGGGGCGGGCUAGGGUUUACCUCCGUGGCGGCGGCGGUCGCCGGAGACGAGGGAGACGGCGGCGCGGGCACGGGCGGGCGGCUCCUCCGGUGAAGUUGACGGCGCGGGGAGGUGCUGGGUCGACACGGCGCGGUACGGCGAAGUCGGGGGCGAGGUCGGCGCUCCUCGGGGUCGUCGGGGUGCUCGCCUAGGAUGGCGCGGAGACAGCGGCGAGCGGCGGACGGCUCCGGAUCUUCGGCUUGACGACGGCGAGGCGCUGCGGCGCGCAAAAAGGAGAAACGGACGCAUCAAAAGAUGCGCAAGGACGAAGGAAAGCGAACGGCUAGAAAUGGGCAGAGUUUUGACCUUAGGGUUCACCGGCGGCGACCAAAACGUGCGGCGGCGAGCGACGAGCUCCGGCGAGCGAUUCCGGCGGAGUGGGCGCGUGAGAGAGAGGGGAACGAAGGGGGAAGAAGAGAGGGGGGCGGGGGGCAGAGCUUUAUGUUGACGCGCUCGGGGCUGCGAAAUAUGGACGGAGCGCAGAGAUCUCGGCGGAGACGGCACGCGGUGGCGAAGAAGGAAAGCGGCGGUGGACGCGGGCGCUUUCCAUCGGGAACGAAGACCCUGACGCGUGGGUCCCACGCGUCAGUGGCAGCGGGCACGCGCGCGUGCGGCGGGGCCAGUCUGGCUCGGUCGGGCGCGGUCGGAGGGGGCUGGUCCGGCCCAUUUUGGCGGGGCCGGUCCGGUUUUCUCUUUAUUUUUCUUUUAGCCCUUUUGUUUUUUCUGUUUUUCCUAUUUCUUUGAUAUCUUUUGAUUUUUACUCCAAAUUGGUCCAAAUAAAUUCUAGAAAAUUUCUAAAAUCAUGUUCUAUCAUGAUUCAACUUUUGGGAGUAAUUUCCCUUCAAAAUAAAAUACCUAAAAAUACAUUUUCCCUAUAAAUGCCUUUAGGGCUAUAUAACUAUUUAAAUAAAAUAGUUUUUCAACUCCAAAUAAUUGUCCAAAAAUUAUGGAAUAGCUCAUUUAUGCAAUAAACCCCUUUUAUAAAUAAACCUUAUUGGUUUAAAGAUUCAAAGCUCAAAUGGGUGUAAACCCUAGGGUUUAAAUUGAAAUAAAAACUUUUAAAGCCUUUUGAGAUUCAAAUUUGAAUUCAAACGUGCAAUUGUGGCAUGAUGCUUAUGAAUGCAAUGCAUAUGAAAGGAUUUGAAAUUUUGGGAUGUUACAGUCAAUGUCGCCAAGAGCUGCAGGACGUGGCCGCCGAAAAGAGUCGUCUUCAGGAACGUAUAGACUCCCGUAUUUCCGCAGAGAAAGAGCGGGAGAAGGUUUGGAUCGAGCGACUCGAAAGUGCUACUCACUCAGUUGCUGGUGAGCGCUUGAACCUGUUAUUCGAGUGGCUUUUCCUUCUCGUGGAAAAUUUUGACCGUUUCUCUGUCCUUUUGCAGGAGUCCUUGAUGCUUCCGCAUAGGUCCAAUUCAAAGAGAGAAGCCGAAGCUUCAAUGAUGUUUUAGAAAAUGUUGAAGUCAUCAAUGAUGAAGCCAAGGGCAAGCUCCGGCAAGCGACAAAGAUUCUGACCACCGUAAUCAGGAAGAUGACUCCUGAUGGGUCAGUGCCGGAGUCGCUGAAUGGGCUUAUUGAAUUUUUUGCAGCGAGUCAUGACCCGGUAGGGGAGUACUACUGAUGCUGAGCUAUUCUUUACGCUUGCUCUUGCGCAUGGCAUUGAGGAAGACGCUCUCCAUCGAGUAACCUCUCGAUCGAGAGCAGGUGACUCGGUCAACCUAGGGCCCCUUAUGGGAAAGGGCAAAGAGCUGGCUGAGAUCUCGUUGCGGCAGCCACGUAGAUCAAUUGAGGAGAUGAACCUAGCUUCAUCCAGCGGCCCAGAGGUGGGUGAUCUUUCACUAGAUAUAUUUGAUUCUCUUUCUCCUUUGUGAAUCUUCUUCUUCUGUUCUUAUACCUUUGUAAAGAACUGCUCUAGCUGAGCCCUUUUUGGAAAGAAAUCAAAAAAUCUUUAUUUCCAUCCCGAAAGGGGUUCUUCAGGAUAAAUGCUGAGGUAACUUGUGUCUUUUCCGCGCAGAGGGAAAAAGGACCAUCGAGUCACUCGAUUCCAGGUGCAGCGGCAACCUCUCGCAACGAUGCUCCAGCCGAUCCUAGCGGAAAAGGUCAGGCUGGGUCGGCUUUGUGCCCAGAGCAGUUACGAGAAAUUGAGGCUCGAUUCACUAAAUUGAAGCGUGACACGCUGGGUGACGCUCAGAGUAGCAAAUCUAGCCUGAAAGCUGCGACCAACCGGGAAGAGUUUGUCUUUGGAGAGCUUCGCAGCCUGAGCAGCCAAAUCCAAGGUAAGGAUCGCAAGACUUUGCCUUUCGAGUCGGUCUGCAAAGUGAUCUUACCGUCUUCUGUGCAGUUGUUCGCUUUGACCCUGACGAUGAAAAGGCCAAAGUGAAUACCGCCAUUCAAGCUCGCAGAGUGCAUGAUCCAUCAUCCUUUUCGCUGGAUCAGUCAAGGAGCUACGACUUGAUGCUGUUGAUCGAGCGGAUCAAGCAGGUCAAAAGGUACUUGACCUCCUGCCGUGACAUGCUAGCUUCGACACAUCUGGCCUUAUGGCCACAGGAGAAGGUGCCUCGUAAACCGGGCAGCCUGAUGGUGAAGUUUCACGACGAGGAGAAGAUGAAGGAGCUGGUUCGACUCUAGCUGGUGAGGGGUGCCCAGAUUGCCCUCGCAUUUGUGCGAGUCAACUGCCCAGAGUUGGAUUUCUGGCAAAUUGCUACAUUGCCAGUUACUCUCACCCAGGGUAUAAAGUCAUUCCUGGAGGCUGGGCAGGCGGCGGCGCUGUAGAUGAUCCAGCAAUGGGAGGCAGCUGAGGAGGAGACCCUGCCUGUCGUAGGUAGUCAUGUAGUUUUUUUCCUCUCUUUUUUUGUAACGACUAGUCUACCGGGUGCGCGAUCAGCGCUCCCGGUGGGAGUAGCCCCCGAGUGCGGUUGCAACUGUGUGUAGUGGCGACCGGACUCAAGGUUGUAAUGUGAUAUCCUUGAGCAAUGUUGCACCCCUUCUUUUUUUGGAAUGGAGCGCCCUGACUUGCCAAUUAGCGCCGAGUCGAAUUCCGACUUGUGGAAGUCGAAUUUGAGUCGGAUUUGAAGUACUCCUGGUGGGAGUGCCUCGCAGUCGAAUAUAAAUAGCCGAGUGCAGACUCGAACGUACUAGCCAGCGCAAGGGAUUUGUCCUGCUGAUUAGCACUUGGGCCUUGGAAGAAGAUAUGGAUUCCUCCGAUGCACUCGAGGUUAUGCAUAUCCGUUUGGGACAUGUGAGGAAUACCACCUCGCGCAGGCAUGGGAGGAGAUUUCCUUGCUCAAGUCGGAGAAUCGGGCCGCAUCGGGUCGAGAGGAUUUAAUUUCCUCAGGGAAAAUGUGAAGGUUGAAGCUGAAUGUGUAAAGAGUCGUCUUGAUGCUUUAGCACGAUCUGGUUCGGAGAACCCAUCCUUCUAGUCAAAACCGCGACAAGGGUUAUGCCCUUGCGCUUCUGCAAGAUCGAGUUGCAAGAGCAGUGAUCUGCCUGAAGUCCUGCAGUCACUGUUUGACAGAGGUUCACCAUAACUUGUUUCCGGAGCUUCGUGUCCCUGUUGACCUGAAGGGAUUAAUCGAGAGAUUUUGUGAAGGAGCAGUAGUGAGGGGGGCUACUCAUGAACAAUUGGUGGAGGGUGUUGUGCUGGCUCUCUCGUUUGUUCGUUUUCGCUACCCCUCAUUGAAUCUGGACUCCCUGCAUUUGACUCCCUCUUACAUUCCAGACGAUGCUCAGCUUGGACCGAUUUACGACAUGAUGGAGAACACGACAUGUCAGCUGGUGACUCUUAUGGCCUUGGAGUAGAGUAGGCUUUGAUACUCGUUUAAAUAUGUAGGCGUAGUUGUCUGAGUAGUAUUUUUACCGGGUGCGCGACCAGCGCUCCCGGUGGGAGUAGCCCUCGGGUCUGUGCAUGACUGGUUUGCAGUCAUGUGGAGACCCAAAUACUUUGAAAUCUUUUGUAAUUGAAAACUGUUAGCAUCGUUGAAGAUGCCGCACCUUCUUGUUCUGUACUUCCAUUGAUCUUGUAUGAGAAAACAUUAUGAUUCCAAUUUUGCUUGCUUGGAAACUGCCGACCAUUGAAUGAUUGUGCUGAUGUUUGUUUACGCGAUAGCCCGUGAAUGCCGGCUGCAUACAACGAGAGUUUUUUAAAGUCGAUUGAACGCAGCCUCCGAGCGUGGGGUGCGACCAAUGACAAUGUCUGCGGUCGACGGGACACAGCCCCCGAGUGUCGAGUGUGUCCAAUGAUAAGUUUGGGUCGAUUGGACGCAGCCCCCGAGUGUCGGGUGCGUCCAAUGACAGUUUAGGUCGAUUGGACGCAGUCCCCGAGUGUCGGGUACGUCCAAUGACAAGUUUGGGUCGAUUGGACGUGUAACAUACCGGUUCUCGGCAUUUCCAAAAUCUAUUUCCUAAAAAUGACUACUUGAAAAUUUCGCUGAAUUAAACAAAGCUUAACUGGAAAUUUCUUGAAUCUUUGGUUCUAAAUUGAAUUUACACCGACUAAAUAUGAAUUUGAUUUAUACACUUUCUCAUUUGGUUUGCUUAUAUUUUAUUUGGAUUCUCCAUGUUCAAAUAUGCACUUUUAAAUCUCUCUGGAAUUCAUCUCGAAGUUGAUUUGAUGUUUGAGAAGUUCAUUCGAUCUCUUAGCUUCUGUAAAAAUAAAAAAGCAUUUCCUCUUUCUUUUUAGCUUUGGCUGAAAUCCCCAGCCGCAACCCAUCUUCCUUCUCUCUCCCGUAGCCCACUUCUGGCCGAACUGCUCCAGACUACCGUGCCUUGCUUCUAUUUUCUCCCGCGUGUGUUUAAUCUCCAGAGGACGAAGGAGAACUGCCAUCUCCUCGACGCCAGUGUAACUCGAGCUACCUAGAACGAUCGUAUUCAGAGGGAGCUCACGCGAGGAAGACAAGAGUUUUUGCGCUGCUCAAACUUCCGCAGCUUUUCUGGCAUUUUUCAUUCCCCUUUUUAUUCAGACGUUACAUGCAAAACAGAAAAUGGGGAGAGCAAGCCGCGCCAUGAUCCGCUGAUCCCGCGCCAUCCCACGGCCGAGUCAUGGCGCACAUCCCGCUCCUCCACAACGGCCACACUAUAGGCACGCCCAUGCAAACGUACGCAGACAUGCUGGGACGUGUUAUGCUAACAGAAAACAAACUAACAACUGAAAGCAAAGAUGUUUAACAUGCACGAGUUUACUAACAAAACACUCCCUAAACUCGUGCACCUACUUUAUUUGGAUCAUACCAAUCUUCGAGCGCAAUUCCUGGAAUCUGACGCGGCCAAGGGACUUGGUCAGGAUAUCAGAGAGCUGCGCCUCAGUUCGGAUGAACUCCACUUCAGCCUGGCCUUUCUCAACGCACUCCCGUAUGAAGUGAAAUCGAGUGUCGAUGUGUUUGCUCCUGUCGUGGAACACAGUAUUCCGGCUGAGAGAGAUCGCCGACUUGUUGUCGACGAACAACUUGAUGCAGGCCGCCUCUUCCUUCUUCAGUUCACCGAAAAGACGAGCUAGCCACACUCCCUGAGAGACAGCAGUGGUCACCGCAAUGUAUUCGGCUUCACAAGAUGAGAGCGCCACCACCUUCUGCUUGGUUGACUGCCAGGUAAUCGGACUUGUUCCGAGGAAGAAGAGGACGCCGUGGUGCUUUUGCGGUCGUCUAUGUCGCCAGCCAAGUUGCUGUCGCUGUAACCGACAAGGUUGGCGUCGCCGUUUGCUCCUCGUGCAAACUUGCAGCCAUAGUUCAGGGUCCCCGCGACGUAGCGAAGUAUGUGCUUCACUGCUGCAAGGUGCUUGACAGUAGGGGACUCCAUGAAUCUGCUCACAUAGCCCACCGAGAAAGUGAUAUCCGGCCGGGUGUGAACCAGGUACCUGAGGCACCCCACGAUGCUCCUAUAUUCAGAAGCAUCCGUUGGCUCUGCUGAACUAGCUUUGCUCAGCUUGAGGCGUGUUUCCAUCGGCGUCUGACAAGAAUUACAGCCCGUCAUCCCACUGCGCUCAAGGAUCUUCACGGCGUAUGAGGACUGACAGAUGGUGAUGCCGGCAGCGUCUUGCUGCACUUCAAUGCCAAGAUAGAAACUGAGUGGCCCAAGGUCACUCAUCUCAAACAGCUGCUUCAUUUCUGCUUUGAACAACUGCAGCUCUUGCUCGUUGGCUCUAGUAAUGAUCAGGUCGUCCACGUAAACUCCGACCAAAACUCUGGCUUUGUCUUCACCUCUGGUAUAGACAGCAUGCUCCAGCUUGCUGCGAACAAAGCCAAUUGACGUAAGGCAAUGAUCCAGCUUUGCAUUCCAUGCCCUAGGAGCCUGUUUUAGACCAUAUAAGGCCUUCCGAAGCUUGAACACCUUGUGCUCUUGCCCUUUCACCUCGAAGCCCGGUGGCUGAGCAACAAACACCGUCUCCUCUAGUUCACCAUUGAGGAAGGCGGACUUCACGUCCGUGUGGUGCACAGUCCACCCGGCAUGCGCCGGGAGAGCAAGCAGCAGCCGGAUGGAGUCCAGAUGAGCGACCGGCACGAACACUUCGUCAUAGUCCACGCCAUGCCGCUGCACGUAGCCCUUUGCGACAAGACGGGCUUUGUGCUUGGCCACCUUGCCGCGAGAGUCUUUUUUCACCUUGUACACCCACUUCAAUCCUAUAGGACGUUGUCCUUCCGGCAGCGAGACCAAUUCCCAAGUAUCAUUGGCCUCAAUAGAAUGCAUUUCCUCCAUUGCUUUGCGCCACCACGCAUACUGGAUGGCAUCACGGUGGCUCGUUGGUUCUUCGUUGAUGAGGAGAUUCAGCAGCGGGGCCGCACCGGCAUCAAGCACAUUCCUGACAGUGCGAUACCGAUGAGGCACAUGAGCGUCGUCGUCGUUGUCGAACAGCUCUGGUUCCACCGUGGGUGGAGAGACAAGCUCGAAUCCCACAGUGGGCGAUUCAGCAGGCGUUGCUGGUGUUGCGGGCGUUGCUGGAGUCAUGGGCGCUGGACUGGAGUCGUUCGUGUUGUCGGCCGGAACUGGAGAUAAUGCCGCCUGCGUCGCGGCCGGGUGCAGCACAUACUCAACAGUAAAAUAAUCUGUCGACAAACCAGAGUCGUUAUUGCUGCCGUCUGCGUCCCAGUUCCAUGCCGCAGACUCGUCGAACACCACGUCACGAGUGACAUGGAUGCGCCUCGCCACGGGAUCAAACAUUUGGUAGGCCUUGAUCCCAGGCUCGUAGCCGAACAUGACCAUCUUGCGGCUCCUGUCGUCCAGCUUCUUGACAUUGGGGCUCACCAUUUUGACAUGGCCGAUGCAGCCAAAAGUGCGGAGAUAGUGCACAUUCGGCUGCCAUCCAUGCCACGCCUCGAACGGGGUCUUGCCCUCAACGCUGGCCGUCGGCAAACGGUUCAGCAGGUACACUGCCGUGGUGACUGCCUCGCCCCAGAACUCCGCCGGCACUCCCUUCGCCUUCGCAGGCAGCGUGCCAUGCCGACGACGUUUGAUUGCGCCGCUCGACGACGCCGUUUUGCUGGGGAGAGUACGGCGCUGUCAAGUGCCGCUUCACUCCCAGCUCCUCGCAAUAUGCAGUGAAGUUGUUCGACGUAAAUUCACCGCCGCGAUCGGUGCGCAGCGCUCGGAGUGGAUGCUGCGACUCGUUCUCGGCAGCCACCUUGAAUCGCUUGAUGGCCACGACUGCCUCGUCCUUGCUCGUCAACAAGGUCAGCCACAUAUACCUGCUAUAAUCAUCCACAAGAAGCAGGAAGUACCGCUUGCCUCCUGGCGUUGCCGGUGUCACCGGGCCGCAGAGAUCGCCAUGCACCAGUUCAAGCUGAUCUGCAGCCCGGUACUUUGCCUGGUGGGGAAAGGGAGCUCGGCGUUGCUUCCCCACCAAGCAGCUGUCGCAGAGCUGGCCCACGCGCUCGAUCGUCGGCAUGCCGCGAACCAUGCCGUCCCUGGAGAGCCUCCGCAGUGCAUCGAAGUGCAGGUGGCCGUACCUGGCGUGCCAACGCCAGGCGUCAUCGUUCCCUUGUACAGAGAGGCAGAUGGGCUGCGCCACCUCGAGAUGUAGCACGUACAGACGCCCCCGGUUUCGCCUCACACGAGCGAGCAGCUUCCGUUGUGGAUCCCACAGCCGGAGAACGCCGUGGUGGAUGUUCGUCUCACACCCAAUUUCGUCCAUCUGCCCUAGACUGAUGAUAUUGCUCUCCAGACGUGGGAUGAAGUAGACAUCAGUGAGCACUCGGUGCUCACCGUUCCGGCAAGUGAAGACAAUCUUGCCGCGGCCCUCGAUGUUGACCAGCGAGCCGUCCCUGAGCUUUACGCGUCCACUCAUGCCGGCAUGCAGCUCGGAGAAGAGUUCACGGCGCCCGGACAUGUGGUUCGACGCGCCACUGUCCAGGAACCAUGACAUGUUGCAGCGCCCAUCGCCGGGAGCCGCGCGGGCUUUAGAGUGCUCCUCAUUCAGCAUGACGUGCUCCUCGGCGUCGUCCGUGAUCACCUUCAGCGCGCACGUGCGCGCCAUGAGGAGCGCCGGCUCCUCGUCGUCGGCUUGGGCGAGAUUGGCAUGCCCCUUUCAUUCCUUCCUAGGCUCACGACAAUGCUUCGAGAAAUGGCCCAUCUUAUUGCAAUUGAAACAUUUCACCUUGGACAUGUCGAUGUUUCCGUUGGCGUCGCGGGCAUGCCCAAUGCCCUGUUGCUUCGGAGCCUUGCCGCGCUCGUUGCCGUUCGCGUUCUGGGCAUGGUUCGUGCCGCCCACGUUCUGGCCUUGGCCACCGCUGCCUUGGCCCGUCUGGCGCUGGCUGCGGCGUGUCUCCCACUCCUCUUCGGUGAGGAGUAGCUGGCCUCCGGCAGCACUGGACGAGCUGCUGCCGAGGGUGUAUCGGGACUCCGCCGCGCGAAGCCGCCCGAUGAGUUCCUCCAAAGACACCUGCUUGAGGUCGAGCAGCGUCUCAAUCGACAUCACGAUUUGCAUGUAUUUCUCCGGCACACGCGCGAGGAACUUCUUCACCACCGUGUGACCGGCGCCACCGGAUCGCCGAGCGUCUCCAUGUGGUUGAUAUGGCUGUUGACCCGCAUGCUGAACGAGUCGAGGGAUUCGCCGAGUUUGAAGGCGAAGCGCUCCCACUGCGUGCGAAGGCGUUCCACCGCCGCCUUGCGCACGCGCUCCACGCCGAGGCGCAUGAGCUUGAUGGCCUCCCAGCCCUCCCUGGCCGUCUCCUUGGAGGCAAUGAUGCCUUUCAUCUCCGGUGGCACGGCUUUGAUCAGCGCCGCCAGAGCAUUCAUCUCGUCGACCUCGCUGAUCUCGUCGUCCUCCUCAGCGAUCAUGGCCGUCCACAACCGCUGGGCACGCAGGUUGACCUUCAUGACCUGUGCCCACUCGACGUAGUUCGUCGCCGUUAGCUCGGGGCAGGUGAUCGUGCUUCCCCCGCCGCCGGCGACCACCCUCUCCUGGACGAUUAUCUGGCGGUUGUCGUUCCGCCUCGCGCCAGGACUCUGACCUCGCGGCCGUCGUGAAGCCGACCGCGAACCACCGACAGACCGCUCGCGUGAGCGAUCCUGACUGCCGGCCAUGGCGCCUAGAGCCUUUCGUGGCUCUGAUACCAACUGUAACUCGAGCUACCUAGAACUAUCGUAUUCAGAGGGAGCUCACGCGAGGAAGACAAGAGUUUUUGCGCUGCUCAGCCAGAAACCGGCAACAAGAAACGUCAUCCGACAGCCAUCAAAUUAAUAACCCCAUCUUGCCCUUCCUUCCUUUCCUCCCUGCUGCUUUUGCACGCCAUAGCCUGAAUUCCACCCGCAGCAUCGCCAAGUCCCUGCCUGCGCCCCACUGCCCACCAAAUCGCCAUUGAUGUUGACGGCAGAAUCCUGCGAAUAAAAACGCUGCAGACCAAACCCUUGCGCCAGAACAACCACACCAUUCCAAUUUUCCCCAACGCAACUCUCCCCUCUCCACUUUCCAACCGAAGACCCCCAUGGUGCAGCACCGAAGAGGAUGACAAGGGAGAGCAGCACCAGCGAUCAUGUCAGGAGGGCCAUGCCAAGAAGGGAUCGAGGCCAAGCGCCAUGCAGUAGGAAGAAAGGACUGUCGUCUGAUCGACUACAACCGCCAGCAAAUCCUCCUGUCUUUAUUCUACUGCUAUUCAUCGAAUUGGUGAGAAUCUGAUCAAACCAUCAUCCUUUUGAAUGCCUCUACAUCCAGCACAUAUGCAGAUUCAAGUGGAUUUCUGAACCAAUUUGUUUAGCAUCCCCAAAUUCUCUUUCUUCCACUUCUGAAUAUUGUUCCACCGAUCAAAUCUUUCUCCCAUCCUUUAGUAACCAUCUUUAGUCAGCAUUACCACUGGUUACAGGUCCUAGACCAAUCGGAUAGGGGUUGGGAACAAUAAAACUCAAAUAAGCCUAUCCUGCUUGUUAGCACCAAAAUGGUUGAUUUCAUAUCUUUGCUAGAUCAAUUUUUGUUUGUCUGAAACUUUCUGCAUAUAUAGAUGUCUAUCAUGUUCUAGUAUUAAUUUACUUUGCAUACAAAUAGUUUCACAUGUUCUGGACUUGUAGAUUUGAGGAUCUUGAGAUUGCAAGGUUGUUAUUUCAUGUGCAAUAGUUAUUUUGAUCAUGCUUGUUCUUUCUGUGUAAAAAUCUGCAUAAAUGUCUAUAAGAUCAUGUUUGUAGUUAGUUUUACCUGCACACAUUUUAGUUGGACUGUCACUUCUGAAUCUCCAUUUGUGGGCAUGUUUUAUCUAUUAUUUAAAAGCAUUGUUUGCAUUCUAGUUCAUCGGUUUGGUACAGAAAAUCAUGUGAAUGAAGUUUGCUGCACAAAAAUGCAUGGCAUGACAUCUUAGAUACUUCUAUGAGUAUUAUGAACAUAUUUUAGAACUCAGCCAUAUUUAUGUUAUUGAUCGUUGAGUGUAUCUAUUUUAAUUUGUGCAGAUUAAUAAAUGAUCAUUCUUGCAUAUGUUUUGCGUAGCUUAUUUGUACGGGUUAGAUUUAUGUCUUGGCUUGCUUGUAGUAUUUUUAGCCUGUAACAAAUUGUAUAUAUAUUGUUACAUAAUUAUUUCUAAAGUUUGUAGAAUUUUCUCACAUGCCUAGUUAGCUUUCAGAUUUAUAAAUUAGCAUCCUUGCUUGUGUUUUUGUUUAUGCAGCACAGCCAUGAUAGUUGUUUUGGUUAUAUCAGAUUUAAUAUAGCUUUUGUAUGCUUACUAGUAUUGUUGGUAAUUAUUUGAGUAUUUAUGGAUUGCUAGUUUGUUUUUAACAUUAUUAUUUCCAUAGAUAUACCAUGUUUAGUGUAUAUAAAUGCUUGUUAAUGUAUAUACUAUUUGUCUAAUACAUUGCAGCGUCCAAUAUUAUACUUGGGUUGUUUUGAUGCUUUCCAUGCUGUUCAUAUAUAUGUCAUGGUAUGAUGUUUGUUAUCCAUGGCCCAAGGUAGAAGAAGA
RNAcentral lists this long non-coding RNA (59014 nucleotides) under Brachypodium distachyon (stiff brome). RNAcentral's name for it is "long non-coding RNA (BDIS_LNC003394)". Lineage: Eukaryota; Viridiplantae; Streptophyta; Magnoliopsida; Poales; Poaceae. The record is from RNAcentral.